AGCUGAGGGCUCUCCCACCACAGCUUGGACAGCAGGCCACCAACUUGAAGGACCUCCUUAUAAGAGAAGCAGAAUGCUUGAAGACGGUGGAAGACCUCCCGUUCCUCUCUGGUGCCCUUUCAAUUGGUGGCUGUGAAGGCCUGGAGAGGGUCUCCAACCUUCCCCAAGUGAGAGAGCUGUUUCUAAAUGUCUGCCCCAAUUUGAGGCAUGUCGAGGAGUUGGGUGGUUUGGAGCAGCUAUUGCUGGAUGAAGGUAUGCAGGAGAUCUCUCAGCUGUGGGUCCCAAGGCUUCAGGAGCAACACCGCCAACUCCAUGGAGAUGAGCAUGAGCUGGAGGUCAUCGAGUGGCUGUGAGACCCAAUUAAUUUAGAUGGCGCAAGGUAUGUACACUAAUUGCUUGGGACAUUUCACUGGAAUAAACUAAUCAUUGGGUUGUACAUUCAUGCUGCCCCUCUGCUCUUCAGCUGUAUAUAUGCAGCUAUUCUAGCAUUUGAUAGUCUCCUUAGUUGUUCAUGUCGUGUGCAUUGACUGAUUGUUUAAUGAUUUAUAUGAUUUAGUUUUAUUUUCAUUUAUGCUGCAUGUAAGCAUUUCAUCAUGGUCAAGAUUUUCAUAAAAUGGUGGAUAUACAUUGACAAAUUCAUUAGUUGUCCAUUUCUUUAAUCCUCUCGUGAUCUUAUUAACAUGCGUCCUGUACAUACGGUGUAUUCUAGAUAAAUGAAUUGUCCUAUAUGUACUACAACAUAAUCAUGUGCAAUAGUGUUCCUAGCUCUGCAGACAAAGAUAGAGAUUACUUCUACUCCAAAAGAAAAUUGUAUGGGUUAUAUCACCAAACAAUGCUAUGAUGGCAUUGCUAUAUUCACUAUAUGAUAGUAGUAAUAUCACAAAUGCAUAUAUCCAUCCAAGGACUUGGGGACAACAUAAAUGGUUUAGCAUUUGGUACACAGGCUGCAUAAGUGCACGACUAAACAUAAUGGACUUCGCUAGGCCAAGAGAUAAGUAAUCCUUAAUUCAGCUCUUGAAUGUGCUAGCUAUGAUUGGCCGUGUACAUCCUUCGGGAUGUAGAGGCCGGGUUUUAUUUAAUCCAUUAUUUAAAAAUGCGCUAUCUAUGACGAAGACCAGAUCACGUGCAUUUAGCCUUCAAGUCUGCAAGUGUGUUCUAUGUCAUAUCAAUGUGCACAUUUAGUACUCAGUAUCUUAUAAAAACACAAAUACACAUGAAUUUUCGCAAGACAUUAGGCAAUAGAGUAGUUUUUUUAGAUUUCACAAAAAAUAGGUCAGGCCCAAUGUUACAGAUUCCUUGCAGCCUGUGAGCAGGAUAUUGAAGAUGGAAGGGUUGUGCCCAACAUCUGUUCCUAGUGUAGGGCUCCUAAUUAAGGUUUGUUUGGUGAAAAAACAAAAGCCACCUAAAUGUCUUUGUAUUGGUUCAAAUUGAUUAAUAUUUUUGUUCGUAUUACAUCUGUUAUAAGCAGAGGAUAUUGCCGAGCGACAUGCCUAUGUAUAGUCCCUAUGUGUCUUUUCCUUAUACUUUUUGUAAUUCACGUAUGAUGUUUGGUAAGUUCAAUUGUAGAAAAUAGAUUGUUGCAAAACGGAUGUCACUUGUAUUUUCUUUUCCUUAAUUAAGUUAUUUAAUUACCAAAUUGCUUAUGAAUAUACAUCCAUGAUUAAUUUUUGUGCGCUUAUUUGUGUUGUAGGUUAAUCUUGAAGAAUUUGGGCUGCAGUCACCUGUAAUCUGUACUUUUGUCUUUACCUAGCUACUGGUCUUUGAAAUAUAUUAAAAAAAUUAAAAAAACAAAAAUAUCAAAAAAUGGGAAAAUGUCAAAAAAAAGGUUAUAUUUUCUUUAGCUCUUGUAAAAUACAUCGUCAUGUUUUCUUAGAUGUGUGCGUUUCUUUUCUUUUUAUUUUUUUUAUUGUAGGUGUGUAGGUAACUCCGCCUAUGUCAUCUUAGGUUUAUCUGAAUGACAUAGCCGGUCCCAAGCCCGGAAAAAGGAGGAGGGGAUAAUCUUGUAUAGAUGUUGGUUGAAAUGACGCUCUCCUACUAUAUAGUAGAUCAUUGGGAUUUUUCCGUACUUUUAUCAGAUUAAUUUCAUUUUCAAUGAUGGAAUAGUUAUGGAGACACUUCUAGAGACUCAUCCAGUCUUAUUUUCAAUGACGGAAUAGUCUACUGCUACCAGGUCUUUGAAAGUUUUCUUGAAACUGCACCUUUGUCAGGCUACUGCAUUUUUUUUGUGAUGGAAUAAUUAUGAAAACACUUUCAGAGGCACAUACACUCUGUUUCUCUGUUGGACGAACCUGAGUUGGAAACCAGUUUAGUUUGAGCUCAUUUCAACCCCUUCUUUCACCAGAAGCAAUUGGGCUAAACCCAAGCACCAAUCAUUCUCCUGUCAGUCCUUAAUGACAAGCCUGCAGGACAAGGAAAUCAAUGAAGAUCACUGAGGCAAAAAUAUAUUUAUCCUCCCAUCAUGAUAGAAACUGAUUGUGCUUUGUGAAUUGUGAUCGAGAGGAGAGGAAAUGGUGGAUAACCUUCCUAGUCAUUCCUUUGUACUGACAAUGUUUCAGUACUUGAGGAAAUCUCAGUGAUGAUACCUCGUAUUGACAAUCAAUACCUGUGUUAAUAGAUGGAUACAACACAUCUUUGACUGAAAUUUGCAUCGGCAAUGAUUGUGUCCAAGGCUCUUUCUCCACCAGCUGCUGCUUAUGUGGGAUGGAACCCAUGUAUAACUUGAGGAAGAGAAGUAAAUCCAACUUUUGUUUAUUUCAUUGAAUUCAUCCUUUUUCCUUUUGAACACUGAAAAUAACAGCUUGUAUGUCUUUAGGAUUGGUUCAGGAAAAUGUUAUUAUGACAGUGCACUAGCUUUUCACCUUGUUAUCCCAUUACAUUGUUAAAUUAACCAUGGUUUUAUUGCCUUCGUAUUUUCUGGACGGGGAUGCAAACCAGUGUCUUCUUGGAUACUUGCAUCUUCCUAAUGUUCCGUGUAAGCUGAUUUCCUUAUUUUGCAUAGUGUAAUGUGUUCUACUAGCAACGAUAGGGUUUGAGAUAUUCGGUUUUGACAUUUCAUUUGAUGGCAUUUGAUCAUUAUGUUCAAAGAUGCUCACUACUGAUGCUGUAGAGCUCACUCCCCCAAAUCUGCAACCUUCUCAUGGACUCUGAAAUUAGAAUCGAGGUUUGUGUUCAUUCAUGUACACAAUUGAGCUAUUCAGUUUGAAUUUUCAUCUGAAUCAUUCUGUGUUCAUCUACAACGGACAAAUUAUUCUUAUCGUGACUGAUCAACGCAGCACAAAGCAAAGCACAGCUAUAGCGCAUCCAGCGAUGAGAAGAAAAAGGGGGAGGAAAACGAGGGGUCCUGUACCUCGGUUGUGCUCGAGGUUCUCCGGCGCCGGCGACGUGGGACUCGGCGGCGAUUUACCUCGUCGGAGCGCUCGCUCGCUUGCCGUCGUCGCAUCAACGGCAAUAUAAACAUAUAAUGUCUCCCUGACUCGUGGGGCCACUUGAGGGCAAGAACGCAAGAACGACGCGUGUCUCUCCUGCUUGAGAACUAACCGGCAGCCGCUCGCCGGAGCUCCCUCCGGAAACCCCAAAUCUCGGCGCCCGUAUCCAGAGGCGGUUCGUGUCCCGUUGGUUCUUGGGCUCCUAUCCUCGUUCAGAUCAGGGAGGCUGUUCAGUUCUUGUUUAUCCAGCGGGGCGCAGCGAAAUUUACAGAGGAAUCUCAAUCUCCAAACUGGUAGGAAGAGAGUUUGGUCGAUAGAAGUUGAGCUCUUGUUUGUUCGUUGGUCUGCAGAGUUCACUAGUUCAGAUAAUCAUAUCAUCAACACCAUGAAUUGAAAGAGAUGCUGCACUGCUGUUUAUUGUGUUCACUGUUUAAUUCAUAGCAUCCAUCAAACCUGUAUCUGUUUGGGAGAAUGUUCGAUCAAUGCUACAGUUGGAAUCAAAUUCAACUCAGGACCAAAUUCGUGUUAGGCAAAUAUUCAUGUUCAAUCUGUUAAUACGUUUAACUGCAGUUCUCAACAUCUCUUGACGAGGAAGCAGGGCUGCUGCUGCAAUUCGGCCUGCAAUUCAAGUGCAGCAAUAUGUUGUGUGCAAUUUGUGCAUUAGUGCACAAGUUGAGAAUGGUAAUAUUAUUUCACUCGGAAGAGAUGGAACAGUUGCGAAACGCAGAACCACUCGGUUCAGAGGAGAAUAGUCCUGGACAAAAGGACAGAAAAUGGUCCAAUGGUGAGCAUUGAUCAUUUUUACAGUGAAUGGUGAGCAACUGAUCAGCAUCAACCAUGGUGAAGCUGAACCUGAUAAGUCGACAGCACUAGGGGUGAUGAUCCUAGCCACCCAUAAAUCCUUUCUUGUAUGUUUCCUAACAUAUAUAAGUCAGCAAGUCAAAUGUUCUUAUCGUUUUCUUUAGUCGAUGGUUCAUCGAUUCUGACAUCAAGACAAGAAGCCAACAUACUGCUAGCCAUGUUACUUUCCUCUUGGCUCACAUACGGCCAUUUGAAUGGAUUAGAUUCAGAAAUAACACUAUAUCUCGUCUUUCUUUCUUACUUACAUGAGUUGAAAUAUUCUUGGCCUUUUUUUCUCUACUUACUAGGGCAGAAUUAAGAUUUUGAAGAUGAGCUGCACCCCAAUCCUUAAGAGAUACUAGGAGGUACUCCCUCCGUUUCAUAUUAUAAAACGUUCUAACAUUGCUCACAUUCUAGACACACACAUAUAUAUAUAUAUUGAUUCAUUAAUAUAUAUAUAUGAAUAUGGGCAAUACUAGAAAGUCUUAUAAUAUGAAACGGAAGAAGUACCAUAUUUUCUAAUGUAAAAUUUGGUAUUUCUCGAUACCUUCGGUAUUAGGAGGUCUUUCUUUCUCUAUUUACUAGGGUGGAGUACUCUGAAUGAAUUUCAGUCCAAAUAUCUUUCCUGACAUGGGAAUCUUUUUAGUAGCACGAUGGAGAAAUUUAUAUAUGCAGCUGAAACAUCUUGUUCAUACAUCAGACUGCCAUUUGCACAAUUUGCAAACUUGUUCAAACAUCUUUAUCUAAGAUGGCUUGUCUUGUUCCGUGCAAUUUGCACACUGGAAAACAAACUCCUCAUGCACAGUGGGACAUAAAUGGUGAGACGGAUAAAAGAGCCAUUGUACUAUUUGAACACUGCAUAAGAGAGCCAGCCCAUCUAGUCCACGAGACAUAAUCUCAUAAUGGGAACUUGCUCGUUGUCUUCCUUGUGACCGGCGAUGCCUCGGCUGCACGCAUCAAAGGCCUUGCUCUCAGGCUCAGCUGAGUUUUCUCUCACAACAUAGGGUUUGAACAAUUUUCUGCUUGUCACGUUAGGAGCUAGCCAAUCGAAACGUUGGCUCGCUCGGUCAUCAUCUUGCAUUCCAGAAGACACCCGCCUGCUCCACUGCCGUUCCUGUCGAUCCGAUUCACUUCAGCCUCAGCUCGGCUUUCAUACCAAGCAAGUUAGCUUUGUCAACUUGAGCAAAAUUAACACCGCAAUUUGAGCCGGUUACUUCUUUCUCGUUUGCCUGUUGAUACAAAGAAGCCACCGAAAGGUAAACCCCUUAAUGAUUUCAGUUCUUCAGCUUCAGUAAUCAGUAUAUACUUGCUCAAAACAGAUUGCAAAAUAACUUGCUAGCUACAAAGAUACUCUGAAACCAAUUCAACUUUUGUCCAUUUUCAGACGGUAUUACUCUUGCAUGAUUUAAUUGGAUAUAUUGCUUACGCCAAAAAAAAAAACUUGGAUAUAUUGGAGCAUCACCCUCGACGAGUUUCUCUAUGGCAACCAUACUGGAUUCUUUGAUUGGAUCAUGUGCUAAGAAGUUGCAAGAGAUCAUUACCGAGGAGGCAAUACUAAUUUUAGGUGUAAAAGAAGAUCUUAGAGAACUGCAGGAAAAAAUGGAACAAAUACGAUGCUUUAUAAGUGAUGUGGAGCGAAGGGGCAUGGAAGACUCAUCAAUACACAAUUGGAUUUCUCGUCUAAAAGAUGCUAUGUAUGAUGCUGAUGACAUUAUCGAUUUGGUUAGCUUUGAAGGAAGCAAGCUAUUAAAUGGCCAUUCUUGUUCACCGAGAAAAACAAUUGCAUGUAAUGGGCUUUCACUUCUCUCUUGCUUUUCCAACAUUCGGGUUCACCAUGAGAUUGGUAAUAAAAUUAGAAGCCUGAACAGAAAACUAGAAGAAAUAGCAAAGGAUAAAAUAUUUGUAACACUUGAGAAUACACAGUCAUCUCAUAAAGAUUCAACAUCAGAAUUGAGAAAAAGUUCUCAAAUUGCUGAAUCCAACCUUGUGGGGAAAGAGAUAUUACAUGCUUCUAGAAAAUUGGUGAGCCAGGUUCUUACACACAAGGAAAAGAAGACUUACAAGCUUGCUAUUAUUGGAACAGGGGGAAUCGGAAAGACAACACUUGCUCAGAAAGUAUUCAAUGAUGAGAAAUUAAAACAAAGCUUCGACAAACAUGCAUGGAUCUGUGUUUCUCAGGACUACUCCCCAGCCUCUGUUUUGGGACAACUACUUAGAACCAUCGACGCUCAAUGCAAACAAGAAGAAUCAGUUGGCGAGCUACAAAGCAAGCUUGAAUCGGCUAUUAAAGAUAAGAGUUAUUUUCUUGUGUUGGAUGAUGUAUGGCAGUCUGAUGUGUGGACCAAUCUACUACGAACUCCACUGUAUGCUGCAACCUCGGGAAUAGUUUUGAUAACUACUAGGCAAGAUACUGUCGCUAGAGAAAUUGGGGUUGAGGAACCACAUCAUAUCGACCAAAUGUCACCGGCUGUUGGUUGGGAGCUACUCUGGAAGAGCAUUAACAUUGAGGACGAGAAAGAAGUGCAAAAUCUGCGAGACAUAGGGAUUGAGAUUGUUCAGAAAUGUGGUGGGCUACCUCUUGCAAUCAAGGUUAUUGCUAGAGUUUUGGCAAGCAAAGAUAAAGCAGAGAACGAAUGGAAAAAGAUUUUAGCUAAUUACGUUUGGUCCAUGUAUAAACUUCCUAAGGAAAUAAGAGGUGCUCUAUAUCUAAGCUACGAUGAUUUACCACAGCAUUUAAAGCAAUGUUUUCUUUAUUGUAUUGUAUAUCCUGAAGACUGGACCAUUCACCGUGAUUACCUUAUCAGGUUGUGGGUUGCCGAAGGCUUUGUAGAAGUGCACAAAGAUCAACUACUAGAAGAUACAGCAGAAGAAUACUACUAUGAGCUAAUAAGUAGGAAUCUCCUCCAACCGGUUGACACAUCUUUUGAUCAGAGCAAAUGCAAAAUGCAUGAUCUCUUAAGGCAACUUGCUUGCCAUCUAUCAAGAGAAGAAUGUUAUAUUGGAGAUCCAACAUCAUUGGUGGAUAAUAACAUGUGUAAAUUGCGCCGCAUUUUAGCUAUCACCGAGAAAGAUAUGGUAGUCAUACCUAGCAUGGGUAAGGAGGAGAUUAAGUUGAGAACUUUUAGAACCCAACCAAAUCCACUGGGAAUUGAGAAAACAUUUUUCAUGAGAUUCACGUAUCUUCGUGUUUUGGACUUGACUGACUUACUUGUGGAAGAAAUACCAGAUUGUGUUGGAUAUUUAAUUCAUCUACGUUUACUUGAUCUUAGUGGAACCAACAUAUCCUGUCUUCCAAAAUCUAUUGGUGCUCUAAAAAACCUCCAGAUGUUACACUUACAGCGGUGUGAAUCUUUGUACAGUUUGCCCAGCAUGAUCACUCGGUUAUGCAAUUUAAGGCGGCUUGGUCUUGAUGAUUCACCAAUAAAUCAGGUUCCAAGAGGGAUAGGAAGACUUGAAUUCCUCAAUGAUUUAGAAGGAUUUCCUGUUGGAGGUGGAAGUGACAAUACUAAAAUGCAAGACGGAUGGAACUUGCAGGAGUUAGCUCAUCUUUCACAGUUACGCCGGCUUGACUUGAACAAAUUGGAAAGAGCAACUCCUAGGAGCAGUACAGAUGCAUUGUUGCUAACUGACAAAAAGCAUCUUAAAAGUCUACAUCUAUGCUGCACUGAACCGACUGAUGAAGCAUGCUCAGAGGAAGGCAUUAGCAAUGUCGAGAUGAUCUUUGAGCAGCUAAGUCCUCCACGCAAUUUAGAAGAUCUUAUGAUUGUAUUAUUCUUUGGGCGAAGGUUCCCCACCUGGCUUAGUACAUCCCUUUUAUCUUCACUGACAUAUUUGAAACUCAAAGAUUGCAAAUCUUGUGUGCAUCUUCCACCAAUUGGACAGCUACCAACUUGAAAUACCUUAGAAUUGAUGGAGCAAGUGCAAUCACCAAGAUUGGACCCGAAUUUGUUGGCUGCUGGGAGGGUAAUCUCAUAUCCACAGAGACAGUUGCUUUCCCUAGGCUUGAAUUAUUGGCUAUCAAGGAUAUGCCCAACUGGGAGGAGUGGUCCUUUGUCAAAGAAGAAGAGUUGCAGGAGGAGAAAGCAGCUGCAGCAGCCCAGGAAGGGGGAAAGGAUGGAACUGCUGCUUCGAAGCAAAAGGGGGAGGAAGCCCCGUCUCCAACUCCAAGGUCGUCGUGGCUGCUGCCUUGUUUGAAGCAGUUGCAACUUGUGGAGUGCCCCAAGCUGAGGGCUCUCCCACCACAGCUUGGACAGCAGGCCACCAACUUGAAGGAGCUCGAUAUAAGAAGAGCAAGAUGCUUGAAGAUGGUGGAACACCUCCCAUUCCUCUCUGGUAUACUUUUUGUUCAAAGUUGUCAAGGCCUGGAGAUAAUCUCCAACCUUCCCCAAGUGAGAGAGCUACUUGUAAAUCAUUGCCCGAAUUUGAGGCAUGUUGAGAUGUUGGGUGGUUUGGAGCAGCUAUGGCUGUCAAAGAAUAUGCAGAAGAUCUCUUCACUGUGGGUCCCAGGGCUUGAGGAGCAACAUCGCCAGCUCCAUGGAGAUGAGCAUAAGUUGGAGGUCAACGAGUGGUUUUAAGAGCCAAUUAAUUAGAUGGCACAAGGUAUGUACACUAAUUGGUUGGGAUUUUUCACUGGAAUAAACUAAUCAUUGGGUUGUACAUCCAUGCUUCUUCUCUGCUCUUCAGCUGUAUGCAACUACUCUAGCAUUUGAUAGUCUCCUUAGUUGUUCAUGUUGUGUGAAUUGUGAUUGUUUAAUAAUUUAUAUGAUUUAGUUCUUUUUUCAUUGAGUUUUUCUCCCGGCCUUCCUUUUGUAGCACGCGGUACUGGUACUGUGAGGUACCAGUCUCCAUCCGGCCGUUGAUUGCUGAGGGGUACGAUGGGUAUCACGUGUGGUCCAAAUAGCGUGUGUGUCUCGAUAUCUCUCGCUUUCCCUUCUCCUUCUGCAUCUAGCGCUGCCGCAGGGCACAUGAGAAAAAAGUCGAGGUGAAGGUCGACCCCAUCGGCCGCACCGCCGCAGGCAGACGCAGCAAGGGCGAUGGCAUCCGCAAUCGUCCCAGAAUCGUGGCCGCUGCAGUUGUCCUCGCCAGCGCCACAGGAGUUGUCGCUGCCGCAGGUGUCAUCGCUGCAGCCGUAGGUGUCAUCAUCGCGGUCACAGGAGUCGUCUCGGCGCCGCUGCAAGGGCCGUGGCUGCAGUGGAUCUCCAGGACCCCAUCCGCAGCAUGGUCGCAGGAGUCGCAGCGUUGAGAGGAAUGGAUGAGGCGCCGCCGCGAAGGGGAAAACGAUGGGACAAGGGGAAGACGCCAGCAUCGAGACCAACGAAUGCCGCCGCCGCCGCCGUCGUAUUGUCCGCCACGCGCCGCCGUCGGGAGGAAGCCUAGGGUUUUGCUACUCUGCGGCACUUCCCCAAACAAACCACCGAUCCAAACAUCCUUCCAAACGCGAAAAUACGAUUAUACCCUUCCACUAUGGCUCACUCGUGCUUGCUACCCCACGAUCAAGCUGGUACCCUGAGGUACCAUGUAAUCGUGACCAUUCGAUAUGCCAUCAUUAAUGGAUGGGAUUUUAGUACCUUGCGGUACAAAAAGAAUGACCGGAGCAAUGCUCUUUUUCAUUAGUGCUGCAUGUAACCAUUUCACCGUGGUCAAGAUUUUCAUAAAAUGGUAGAUAUAGAUCAACAAAUUAAUUAGUUGACCAUAUCUUUUAUCCACUCAUGGUCUUAUUAACAUCCUGUAUGGUAUGUUAAAUAAGUGUAUCGUCCUAUAGGUACUACAACAUGAUCAUAUGCAGUAGUGUACAAAGAUUUGAAGACAGAGAUAGAGACUACUGCUACUCCAAAACAAAACUGUAUGGGUUAUAUCGCCAAAAACAUGCUAUGAUGGCAUUGCUAUUCACUAUAUGUCAAUAGGAAUAUCAUAGAUGGAUAUAUCCAUCCAAUGAUUUGUCCCAACAUAAAUGGUUUAGCAUUUGGUUCAUAGGCUGCAAAAGUGAGGGACUAAACAUAUUGGGCUUCGUUAGGCCAAGAGAUAAGUAACCCUUAAUUUGACUCUUGAAUGUACCAGCUAUGAUGCAGACCAGCUUACAUGCAUUUAGCCUUCAAUUUCACAAGUGUGUUCUAUAUCAGAUCAUGCAUGUGUGCAAAAGAUAGCAUUUACUAUCUUGUAAAAACACAUAUACACAUGAAUUUUUGCAAGACAUUAGACCUAUAGAAUAAUUUUUUUUUACGACAAAAAAUAGGUUAGGCCCAAUGUUACAGAUUCCUUGCGACCUGUUAGCAGGAUAUUAAACAUGAAAGGGUUGUGCCCAACAUCUGUUUCUACUGUAGGGCUCCUAAUUAAGGUUUGUUUAGUGCCAAAAGUAUCCACCUAAAUGUCUUUGCAUUGGUUCAAAUUGAUUAAUAUUUUUUUUCAUAUUCUAUCAGUUAAAAUAAGCGGAGGAUAUUACCGACAUGCCUAUCUGUAUAUGUGUCUUUUCCUUAUACUUUUUGUAAUGCAUGCCUGAUGUUUGGUAAGUUAAUUCCACGAAAUAUGAUUGUUGCGAAACUGAUAGCACUUAUAUUUAUUUCCUUAAUUAAGUUAUUAAAACUGAUGUCUGAUGUAUAAAGUAUAUAUACAUCCGUGAUUAAUUUUUGUGUGCUUAUUUGUUUUGUAGGUUGUUAAUCUUGAAGAGUUGGAGUGCAGUCAUUCCUCAGAGAAUAAAAUGAAAAAAAAAUCACAAAACAUGAAAAUUUAAAACAAAAAAAAAACAAAAGCAUCAAAAAAAGGGGAAAUGUCAAAAAUUGAAAAAAAAAGCAUUUUCUUUAGCUAUUGUAAAAUACAUCUUCAUAUAAUUUGUUAUAUUUGCUUGCGUUUGUUUUCUUUUAAAACUUUUUUUAUUGUAGGUGUGUAGGUAACUCCGCCUAUGUCAUCUUAAGGCGUAACUAAAUGACAUAGCCGGUCCCAAGCCCGGAAAAAGGAGGAGGGGAUAUAAUCUUGUAUACUUCUAUAUUGAAAUGAUGCUCUGCUGCUAAAUACAUCAUUUGAUAUUUUCUUGGAAGUUUCUGCACUUUUAUCAAGCUAAUUUCAUCUUCAGUAAUGGAUCAGAAUAGUUAUGGAGAGUCAUCCACUCUGUUUAAUUGUUCAACAAAUCUGAUUCUAGACUAUUUUAGUUUGACCUCAUUACAGUCCAGUUUUCCAGUAAAAGCAAUUUGGAUGAACACAUGCAUCAGUUCAUUCUCCUCUGUCGGUCUGUCCUACAUCCUUCAGUUAUCAGUGCCAGAUCAAUGAUCACAAGAGUUGAUAUUUUGGAGACCACAAAUGCACAAGUCUGUUUGUUGGAGGCUUUAGUAUUUUUCAUGAUCAAAACUGGUGCAGAAAACAUCUGUUAUCACAUAUCACGCUAUUUAGGUUCAGAACAUAAUUAUGAAGCACAUGAUCAACAAAUAAAAAUGAUGAAUUUAAAUUCAUGAAAAAUGGAAUUGGCAAAAACCAGAAAAACAGAGAGGCGUGCUUGAUGUCCUGACAAGAAUGAUUUCCAGCGAUGGUCAGUAAUUACUGAAGUACAUUGCUCUAGUGAAUCUUUACAUAAUCACUUCACCUCCAUGCAAGUUUCUUGACUGGAAAAAGGUAAACAUGGAACAGAAUAACAAACUGCACCUGGAGGGGGCUACUUUAUUUUUAUUUUUUUUUGAAAGAUACCUUAAAGCGGAUACUGAACUGGACUGAAAUUGCCACUGAAUGUUCGAUCACAUUAAGCCUGGCAGGAAAGCGGAGUUCUCAACAAACAGAGUUGGACAGGAAAUGGUCCAGCAGCAAUGCAAACAAGCAAUGCUGAUCCGGGUAGGAAUGGGCGAGUUCAAGUCGUUGUGUCACGCAGGGUUCUUCUUCCCCGAGGCGAAGAUCAAGGGACACUGGAAGUGGAGCAAGACGAUUAAGGUCGUCGAAAGCGAGACGCUCGGCAGCGCUACCUAUGGUAAGAAUAGGAAGAUCUUACAAUCGAAUUCAGGGCGUUCAGGUAAACACUAGACAAAUCCCAAUCGCCAAAUCCACAGCAUCCUAAACGAAAAUCAACAGUGUUUCUCACAGCAAUGAUCUGAACGAAAUUCAUCUUCACAUGCAUAUAUAUCACCCAUGGCCAGCACCCCCACACAUACAUAUCUUAUUCAACAAAAUUACAAGCAGUUCCCUGAUAAAGUUGCAUAUUACACCAACAGGUUCUGCAACUUCCAUGCAGCUCAUUAUCAGAACAUCAAACUUCUAUUGAGCAGGAAUGAAUGAAUGGAUCAAUGGGUAGAUGGUAGGAGUACCAUACUGACUGUGUGUAUUGUUAGGAAACCGCCGGCCCAUGAAGGCCCGGCUCGGUUACCCACUAAUUAGGCCCAUCACUAAAUAUGGAAGGUGGAAGAGGGAAUGGCUAUAAAUAGAGGAGUAGAGAGGAGGAUUGUACACUUGAGAAUGCAAUGGAUGAAUGAGAAAGGAUGCCACACCCUCAUAUCUUGUGUCUCCACUUUUGUAGAAUUACGCAAUCCCUCUUGGACUAUCUCGGUACAUUUAGUCUCCCUGAUGGUUACAGCCCACCUUAACUGAAUUUUACAUCAGCAAUGAUUGUGUGCAAGGCCCUCUUUCCUCCACCAGAUGAUGCUUUAUGACCACAAAAUCCAUGUAUAUCUUGAUGAACAGAAAAGAAAAUCAUUCCUUCCAUUAUCCAACAUCGUUUUUUAUUGAGUCCAUCCUUUUCCAUUUAAACGCUGAACAGAACAGCUUGUUACUCUGUCAUCAGGAUUGGUUCAGGAAUCAGGAGAGAUAUUAUGACAAAUACCCUAGCUUUUCCCCUUGUUGUCCCGUCAUAUUGUUGAAUUAACUGUAGUUUUGAUGGGAUGCUAAAAAGUGCCCCUUUUGGAUACUUCAACCUUCCUAAUAUUCCAUGUAAGCUGUUUUCCUAAUUUUUCGCAUUGUAAUCUGCUCUACUAGCAAUGGCUUAUGUGCUACAUCUCCUGUACAGGAUUCAGAACUCGAGUUCUUGCCACAAAAUGGUUACUGUACACACAAAUCUGGCUAAAAUUGUAAAUGGAAAAUUUCAAAUGCCAACUGCAAUUAACAGCAGAUUGAGUUGCAAUUAACUCUCCUAUGCUUUAGAGUUCACCCCCAAAUCAUCAACCCUCUUAUAUGGACUCUGAAAUCAGAAUCGAGUUUUGUGUUCAGUUAUUGCAGUUCAGUGCUCUAGUUUCAUCUCAACUGUUCCGAGUAAUUAACAACUGGACUAGAAAUUAUUCUUCCCCUGUACUGAAACUCACUCACUGACUCAUCGAAGCGCUCAUACACUCUUUGAUGGGCCAUACACUUUGGGCCUCGUUUUGCUCCUGCCCUGUGCAGCUGUGCUGACGGGCCGCAUGUCCCCGUAGUAUGGAAAAAGUACACCGAAGGUCCCUCAACUUGUCAUCGAGUUACAAAAUUGUCCCCCACGUCCCUUAACUAAUCAAAACCGGUCACAAUAGGUCCUUUGGUGUUUUUGACUCCGGUUUUAUCCUAUGUGGCAACUGACUCAGCAUGGGACCCACGUGGGUCCCACAUGUCAGCAUCUUAUUCCUUCCUCUCUCUACUGCCCUUUCCAAUCCCCCUUCCACGGGCGACGGGCGUGCGCGGGACGGAGAGGCGGGGCGCGGGCGGCUGGGCACGGCGUGGCCGGCGGCCGACCGGAAAGAACUGAGCGGCGGCGGCGGGGGAGGAGCUAGGCGCGAGGGCGGUCGCGGUGGAGCCGGUGCCAUCCUCGCCUCGCCUCCCGCACGCGCGCGUGUGCGUGCGCCUCGCCACACCCCCGCCGCCUACCGCGCGCUCGCAGCCGCCACUGCCGAGCAAGGCGAAGGCGCCAUGGCGGCGCUCACGCAGGCACUCCCGUCCGUGGCACCCGUGCCGCCGCCGUCGUGAUCUCUCUCCUCAUCGUCAUCUAGUUCCAAGGAAGGAUUUGGUCUGUGUCUGUACAUGACUUUUUUUUUGUUUUGCUCGGGCUAGCUUGGCCAUUGUUAGUGAAUUGAUGGUGAAAAUAAAAAAGAGUUUAUUGGGUAGGUCUGGUGUUGCCGCCAACGCCGUCCCGCGACCAGGCAGCGGCAGCAAUCGGAGACGACCACGCUGCGGCGACAAAACAGAGGGGAACACGCAGCGGGGAACGGAGGGGAACAUGUCGAUCUGGCCGAUGUCAAGGUUGGUGGGUACCAGCGUGGGGUUCACCCGCUCGACGGCCUGGUACUGCAUCAGGCUCUGCAGCUUGGUGGUGGAGACAAUCCAGAAGGUGUCGCCGGCGUUGAUCUGGUACUGCAUAGGCGCGUAUGCAUUGGGCGAGUGGGAGGGGCACCCACACUGGAGCGGCACAAGCAGCGGCUGCCCCGCCGCUCGCGCGCAACCCCUCCCCCCACCGACCGCGUGACGCCCCUCCCCCGUCGCCGCUUCGUGGGUCUCGUCCCCUCCCUCCCCCACGCACCCGUCCGUCUCGCGCGACGCCAUCACCGCUGACGCCCUCCUCCUCUCCCGCCUCGCAGAACGCAGAGCAGAGAAGUGAGAGAGAGAGAGAGAGAUGAGGAAGGGAGAGAAGAGGGGAAAAGAGAGAGAAGGCUGACGUGGCCACACUGACAUGUGGGAUCCACGCGGGUCCUACGCUAACUCAGCCGCCAUGUCGGACAAAACCAGGGUCAAAACCACCGAAGGAUGUAAAGUGAACGGUUUUGUUAGUUGAGGGAUGCCCGCUAUUUGGUUUUGUGGUUGGAGGAUGAUUUUGUAUCUCGAUGACAAAUUGAGGGACCUUUGGUGUACUUUUUCCCCCAUAGUAUCGUCCAGGCCCACAAAUUAAAUGGAAUCCCUUGCUGGACCAUAUAACAUGGGCCUACGUCGCUUCCGGCGUACGCCCAUUAAUCGGCCCGACCGCAAGAGCGAUAGUCUCCUGGAUGAGAGAAUCCGCCGCCAUGGCAGCCGCUCGCCGGAGCUCCGCCGACUGGCCACGGAGCUCCUCUCCGGCGAAGAUUUGCAUCACGUAGGUUCUUCGAGUCUUCCCUUUCCAUAAUGUGCUUUGGCUCUUUCAUCUUCUUCUCUCUGUCUCACAGAUCAGACAAGUUGCGCAUGAUACCAAAUUAGAGAUGCUGUACUGCUGAGUAAACUUCAGAUACUAUUGUGUUACCAAAAAUUAUCCCGGGAAAGCAACACCUGAAUUCUUUUGAUAUCAACACAUAUCUGUUUGGGACAAUGUUAGAUCAGUGCUCCUGUUGAUGUCACAAUCCAAUUGGAUGCUUUCUAGGAGUAAAAUGCUUUCUAGGAGUAAAUGUUCUGUGCAAUAUUGAGUUCAACACUUCAAUCAAACCAGAUGGUUUCAGAUCAGAGGUAUUCUAAGGCAUAGUUAUCAACAACACAAACUUGCAGAAGGACUAUCAAACUGGAGGAAAUAAAUUUUGGUCAAAUAGAAAGAAGUCAUGAAAACAAGUACUCAUCUAAGCAAUUACUCCAGUAAUUAUGUAUAAUAUUCUAUGAGAAAUAGUUACAAUGGCACAGACUCCAAGAGUUUUUGAAGACUUCGUGAUAUGUUCAUCAGCCAUAAAUUCUAGAAUUAGAAUGCGACAUGACUAGCAAGAUCCAAAUUCUCCAAGAAUGCUCUGUCCUUGUCUCUAUUGCCCGGCUCCUUCACACUGCAGAUGCAAAGCAGAGUGAACUGAUUGGGGUCUGGAUGGUCGGGUGUGAUCCCAUUCUCUAGACUCUUUGAGAUAACAAAGAUUUGCUCUUUGUCACCUUUAAUCUCCUUCUUGAGAAGUACUAGAAGCAUCUCAGUUGCCUGCAGCUUAGUAGGGUUCAACGUGGAGAGGAAGAUCUGCAAGAACCAGAUAGGCAUCAGCCAUGAGUACCAUGAAGUUUUGCCGUGAAUGGUAAGCUGAUUAGAAUCUUAUAUAGUCAUAUAUAUUUACCUUUCUUAGUUUUCUAUGUAAUAAGUGAUAAUAGAAGAAUUUUGUUGUUGCUGAGUGUGAGUGCAGUAACAACAUCAGGUUCUUAGAAAGCCCUCAUCCAACUUCACAUAUUCUACUCCGUAUUAUUUAUAGACAUUUAGAAGGGGCUAAUCUCUAAAAUUCUGUAAGACUUUGAGGUGACAAACUUCCAUGAGCUGACCUAGAAUUGAACCGAUUACUUCUGCACUUCACUAAUGUACCACAAGUGUUACAGUACAGUCAAGAGAAAACUCAACCUUCAGACUUUCGGUUCCAACUGUGUUUUUGCCUUUUUCUGUAAAAGGAACAACAUCAUUAUGAACCAUUGUGUCAUACAUACCACAAACGUACAGUAUCUAGAUUUUAUCAUGAGAGUGCCCGUAAUAUGUUGAUUCUUGUUCAUUCUUGAGCUAGAAAAUACUAACAGCUUUGGAUGGCAAUCUCUGCAUUGCUUGACUGAACUUUUGCAAGCUCCUGAAUCACAGGAGGUAGCUGACAGAUACUGUGUGUACCGCAACAUGGUGCACCACAUCGCCGGGGAGUUCACCACAUUGCUUGACCUGGAAGGAUGUCUUCUUCCAGGUCAGGAUUAUCGGUCAGAGACAAACCACCAGUUUCUUCAUAGUUCAGAAUUACAUAGAAACUACUAAACUCUGAAAGGUGAAAGCUUUAAAAGCUUUAAACCACAGCGAGGGGUGAGGAAGGCAUGACGCUUAUCUUCGUGUGCUGCAACCCCAGCUGCGGUCACAGAUGGAGGGAGUACGUGGCAUGCAAAGGCAGUAGAGAUUUGCGUUAUGCCAUGAAUUGGUCUAUGUUUACUUUGUCAACAAGAGUAUGAGAUGCCAUGAUCCUAUGACAGAGGAAACAAAACUGAAGCAUGUGUGGCCUUCCUUCUCUAUCUGUUUUUUUUUCUAAUUCAAGGGCGCAGCUAGUUGACUAGUUCCACAUCAUGGAAUCUUGAAGCCAACAGUAAAGUAAUCACAUAGAAGUAAACUGUAGAUCAAUCACAUGGAAAUAAACUGUGAACUAAUCACAUCGACUAGACAAGUGGACAAGCACAAAACGUUGGGUUGUGGAGCAUAGACAAGUGGACAAUAACUCAAAAUUGGGUCAGCGGUAUUAACGUGGGAAAGAUAAAAGAAAAGAGUGGUUCAGCACUUGUCUAGUCUGAAUGUUCAGCUAGCUAUGCAAUAUAUAUAUGCAAGGUCUUACCACUCCCUCCUGCAGUACUGUUGCUUUGUUCCACUGUUGUGUGUGUGGCAUUCUUGUACUGCAUUUCUACCAGCUGUGGGUAAGCUCAAGACAUAUAGCUGAAUUUACUUCCUUUGUUUCCUUAAGAUAAUCUGUAAAUGCUCGUUUUGAUUGCAGGCACGGUGUUUCAUCAGGAUCAGUCGUGUCUAUUUCUGUCUGCCCUGUGAUCGCUUGAGACGAGGUCUGCUAGGAAGGAAAAUCUGCUUCAUCUGAAUAAACACAUAUAUACUGAUAUCUCCUUGUAGCAGACACUCUCCCGUCGGUGGAUGUCAACACAUUCACCUGUAUUUUUGGUAUUAUCCCAUUGAUCCUUCUAGUUAACCUUCUGAAUCAUUCAAGUUUUACAUCGGUAUAAUGAGCAUACACUUCACCUCUUAUUUUCAUCUCCCCUUUUUGCAGUUGUAGCAGCACAAUCAGUGGUUCUCUCUUGAUGACUGGCUCAUAAUGUUCUGAAAUCCUUUCUACAGUUGGCGUAUCCACUGAGUUUCUUUUGAUCUUCACUAAUCUGAGUCUGUCGAGUAUCUAAAGUAGAUGGGUCAGAGCAAACUUCUAGCUUGUGCAAGAUGAAUGCUACUAUACUAUUGAUCCUUGUUAUGUGACUUAUGUCUUUUCAUGCUGAAUUAUCACUCCAUAAGGUAAGAUUUGCAUGCAAUAUACUUGAGUAAAACCCCUCAACUUGUUUCCGGUUACUUCUUUCUCCUCAUUUACCUUUAACCCAAGAAGCUUACCCGAAAUGUAACCCCAUUAUUCCAGUUCUUUAGCUUCAGUAUGCUAACUUGCUCAAAACUCAUGGCAAAACAACUUAUUAAAAACCUUACCGAAAUGUAACCCCAUUAUUCUAGAUACUCUGAAACUGAUUGAACUUUUGUCCAUUUUCAGAUCGUGUAAUUCUCAUAAGUAAUUUACUUAGAAAUUUUGGUGCAUCACCAUCAACGAGUUUCUCUAUGGCAACCAUAUUGGGUUCUUUGAUUGGAUCAUGCGUAAACAAGUUGCAAGGCAUCAUUACAGAGGAGGCAAUACUAAUUUUAGGUGUAGAAGAAGAACUCAAAAAACUGCAGAAAAGAAUGAAACAAAUACAGUGCUUUCUCAGUGAUGCUGAGCGAAGGGGAAUGGAAGACUCAGCAGUACACAAUUGGGUUUCUUGGCUAAAAGAUGCUAUGUAUGAUGCUGAUGACAUUAUCGAUUUGGCUAGUUUUGAAGGAAGCAAGCUAUUAAAUGGCCAUUCUUCUUCACCAAGAAAAACAACUGCAUGCGGUGGGCUUUCACCUCUCUCUUGCUUUUCCAAUAUUCAGGUUCGCCAUGAGAUUGGUGAUAAAAUUAGAAGUCUGAACCGGAAAUUAGCGGAAAUAGAAAAGGAUAAAAUAUUUGCAACACUUAAGAAUGCACAACCAGCUGAUAAAGGUUCAACAUCAGAACUGAGAAAAACAUCUCACAUUGUUGAACCCAACCUUGUGGGGAAAGAGAUAUUAAAAGUUUCUAGAAAUUUGGUGUGCCACGUGCUUGCACACAAGGAAAAGAAGGCUUACAAGCUUGCUAUUGUUGGAACAGGGGGAAUCGGAAAGACAACACUUGCUCAGAAAUUAUUCAAUGAUCAGAAAUUAAAAGGAAGCUUCAACAAACAUGCUUGGAUUUGUGUUUCUCAGGACUACUCCCCGUCCUCUGUUUUGAGACAACUACUUAGAACCAUGGAGGUUCAGCACAGACAGGAAGAAUCAGUUGGCGAGCUCCAAAGCAAGCUUGAAUUGGCUAUUAAAGAUAAGAGUUAUUUUCUUGUGUUGGACGAUGUAUGGCAGCAUGAUGUAUGGACCAAUCUACUACGAACUCCACUGCAUGCUGCAACCUCAGGAAUAAUUUUGAUAACUACUCGGCAAGAUAUUGUCGCUAGGGAAAUUGGGGUUGAGAAACAGCAUCGUGUUGACCAAAUGUCACCAGCUGAUGGUUGGGAGCUACUCUGGAAGAGCAUUAGCAUUCAGGAUGAAAAAGAAGUGCAAAAUCUGCGAGACAUAGGGAUCAAGAUUAUUCAGAAAUGUGGUGGUCUACCUCUUGCAAUCAAGGUUAUUGCUAGAGUUUUGGCAAGCAAAGAUAAAACAGAGAACGAAUGGAAAAGGAUUUUAGAUAAAAAUGUUUGGUCCAUGGCUAAACUUCCUAAAGAAAUAAGAGGUGCUCUAUAUCUAAGCUAUGAUGAUUUACCACAACAUUUAAAGCAAUGUUUUCUUUAUUGUAUUGUAUUUCCUGAAGACUGGACCAUUCAUCGUGAUUACCUUAUUAGGAUGUGGGUUGCCGAAGGCUUUGUAGAAGUGCACAAAGAUCAAUUACUUGAAGAUACAGCAGAAGAAUACUACUAUGAGCUAAUAAGUAGGAAUCUCCUCCAACCAGUUAACACAUCUUUUGAUAAGAGCCAAUGCAAAAUGCAUGAUCUCUUAAGGCAACUUGCUUGUUAUAUAUCAAGAGAAGAAUGCUAUAUUGGAGAUCCAACAUCAUGUGUGGAUAAUAACAUGUGUAAACUGCGACGCAUUUUAGUUAUCACCGAGAAAGAUAUGGUUGUCAUACCUAGCAUGGGUAAGGAGGAGAUUAAGUUGAGAACUUUUAGAACCCAACAACAUCCAGUUGGAAUUGAGAACACAAUUUUUAUGAGAUUUAUGUAUCUUCGUGUUUUGGAUUUAUCUGACUUACUUGUGGAAAAAAUACCAGAUUGUAUUGGACAUUUAAUUCAUCUACAUUUACUUGAUCUUGAUAGAACCUGCAUAUCUUGUCUUCCAGAGUCUAUUGGUGCUCUAAAAAAUCUCCAAAUGUUACACUUGCAUAGGUGUAAAUCUUUGCACAGUUUGCCUACUGCAAUCACUCAGUUAUAUAAUUUAAGACGGCUUGAUAUAGUUGAGACACCAAUAAAUCAGGUCCCAAAAGGGAUAGGAAGACUAAAAUUUCUCAAUGAUUUAGAAGGAUUCCCUGUCAGUGGUGGAAGUGACAAUGCUAAAAUGCAAGAUGGAUGGAAUUUGGAAGAGUUGGCUGAUCUUUCAAAGUUGAGACGGCUUAUUAUGAUAAACUUGGAAAGAGGUACUCCUCACAGUGGUGUAGACCCAUUUCUGCUAACAGAGAAAAAGUAUCUCAAAGUUCUGAAUCUAUGGUGCACUGAACAGACAGAUGAAGCAUAUUCAGAGGAAAAUGCUAGCAACGUUGAGAACAUCUUCGAGAUGCUAACACCUCCACACAACUUACGAGAUCUUGUUAUUGGGUAUUUCUUUGGUUGUAGAUUCCCCACCUGGCUUGGUACUACCCAUUUGCCUUCAGUGAAAUCCAUGAUCCUCGCAAAUUGCAAAUCCUGUGUGCACCUUCCACCAAUCGGACAGCUACCAAACUUGAACUACUUGAAAAUUAUUGGAGCAAGUGCAAUCACCAAGAUUGGACCCGAAUUCGUUGGCUGCAGGGAAGGUAAUCUCAUAUCCACAGAGGCAGUUGCUUUCCCCAAGCUCGAAAUGUUGAUCAUCAAGGAUAUGCCCAACUGGGAGGAGUGGUCCUUUGUUGAACAAGAAGAAGAAGAGGUGCAGGAGGAGGAAGCAGUUGCAGCAGCCAAGGAAGGGGGAGAGGAUGGAACUGUUGCUUCGAAGCAAAAGGGGAAAGUAGCCCUGUCUCCAAGGUCAUCGUGGCUGAUGCCUUGUUUGAGGAGGUUGGAUCUUUGGGACUGCCCCAAGCUGAGGGCUCUCCCACCACAGCUUGGACAGACCAACUUGAAGGAGCUCCUUAUAAGAUACACAAGUUGAUUGAAGACGGUGGAGGACCUCCCGUUCCUCUCUGGUUUACUUUUAGUUGAAAGAUGUGAAGACCUAGAGAGGAUCUCCAACCUUCCCCAAGUGAGAGAGUUGUUUUUAAAUUGUUGCCCGAAUUUGAGGCAUGUUGAGGAGUUGGGCGGUUUGGAGCAGCUAUGGCUGGAUGAAGGUAUGCACGAGAUCUCUCAGCAGUGGGUCCCUGGGCUUCAGGAGCUACACUGCAAGCUCCAUGGAGAUGAGCAUGAGCUGGUGGUCAACGAGUAGCUCUAAGACCCAAUUAAUUUAGAUGGUGCAAGGUAUGUACACUAAUUGCUUGGGAUUUUUCACUGGAAUAUACUAAUCUUUGGGUUGUACAUUCAUGCUGCUCCUCUGCUCUUCAGCUGUAUGCAUCUAUUCUAGCAUUUGAUAGUCUCCUUAGUUGUUCAUGUUGUGUGCAUUGACUGAUUGUUUAAUCACUUAUAUGAUUUAGUAUUUAUUUCAUUACUGCUGCACGUAACCAUUUCACCGUGGUCAAGAUUUUCAUAAAAUGGUGGAUAUACAUCGACAAAUUUGUUAGUUGUCCAUAUCUUUUAUCCUCUCAUGAUCUUAUUAACAUGCAUCCUGCACAUACGGUGUAUUCUAGAUAAAUGUAUUGUCCUAUAUGUACUACAACAUAAUCAUGUGCAGUAGUGUUCCUAGCUCUGCAGACAUAGAUAGAGAUUACUGCUACUCCAAAAGAAAAUUGUAUGGGUUAUAUCACCAAACAAUGCUAUGAUGGCAUUGCUAUAUUCACUAUAUGCCAGUAGUAAUAUCACAUAUGCAUAUAUCCAUUCAAGGAUUUGGGGACAACAUAAAGGCAAAAUUUGCCACUGGACACGCAAAAAAACGUGUAAUUGGCUGAGAGACACCGCGAAAACGUGACAUGGCUGAUGGACACUACAAAAAAUGUGUAAUUGGCUGUAGGACACUCGUCGCAUUAUUUUAUUAUUUCCGGGUCAAAACAGGUGAGAUAUUUUUCUAAAUGCCCGGAUUGCCCCUUCUCUUUCCUUCUUUAAACACCGGUGGGUCCCAUGUGUCAUGGACAGUGUAUGUUUAAUCUAAUUUAUAAUAGGUUUUUAACCACCUGGCCCCACGCGUCAUGGACUAAUUUUUGUAACACCCUGAAAAUUUGACCAACAAAAAUCAAAGUUCCAAAAAUAUGGACCUUCAAAAACUUUUUAAAUAAAUUGCAUCAUGCUGAUUUUGUUCACCUAUUUCAUCGGAUUUUAAUUUCGGAGUUCAUAGAUCACGAAUAAAGAAUAGUUAAUUAGGAAUAAACCCUAAAAUUAGAUUGGCAAGAGAAAUAAUUAAGAUAUAAUUUAAAAUAAAGAUUAUGUGAGGAUAGAAAUAAAUAAAACAUUAUCACGACCAUAUUUAUAUCAAUUAAAUUUAAAUGUGAUGGAAUAAGAAUUAACUCUAAUUAAAUUCCAAUAAAUUAUAUAUAAAAAUAAAAUAUGGGUAAUGAUAAUCUAGGUUAGAGCAACACAAAUAUUGUGUAAACUUGAUUUGUGCAAAAAUUAUAAAUAUUGGGACAAGAUUUGAAUAGGAAAAACAACCAAAUAGGAAAAACAGAAAAAAAUUCACUAUUCAUUGCGCUGUAAGUGUUCGAUCGCGUUCCCUAGCCCUAACCCCUCCUCUGCCGCACGCGCCUGGCCGCCAUCACGUCGCCGCUGUCGCCCGUCGCGUCGUCGCCUUGCGCCCCGUGCCGCCGCGCGCCGUCGCCGUCGCUGCCGCGCCGCCUUGCGCCCCGUGCCGCCGCGUGCGCCGUCGCCGUCGCCGUUCCGUCGCCGCGCGUGCGUCUCAUCGCCUCGCGCCUCGCGCCGCCGUCGCCGCUGUCGCCCGUCCCGUCGCCGCGCCGUCGUCCUGUCGCCGUCGCGUCGCCGCCUCGUGCCCCGCGCCCGCGCGCCGCCCGCCCGUCGCGUCGCCGCCUCGCGCCCCGCGCUGCUGCCGCGCCGCAUCGUCGUCGCAUCGCCGUCGUCGUCGCACCGAGCCCCGUGUCACGCCGCGCUGCCCGCCCGUCGCCAUCGCCGCCUGCCGCGCCGCGCGCCGCCUGUCACGUCGCCAUAAGGCUGCCCGCCCCGCUCCACGCCCUAUAAAGCCCGACCCCUCCUCUUCUCCACCCCACACACAUCCCCUUCAUCUUUCCUCCUCUCCCUCUCCCCCUUCCCCACGCGCCGCCGUCGUCGUGCCGCCGCGCCGCCGCCUUCGAGCCGCCGCGCUGCGCCGCGACUUGCGCCGCCGUCGCCAUCGUCGCCGCCGCUGCCCCCCCACCUCGCGUCCACCGCCGCCGCCGCCCGGGUGGGCAAGGAGCCGAGAGAGAGAGAGGGAGAAAGGAGCCGGGAGGGAGAGAAGAGAGUAAAAAAAAAGAAAGAAAAGAAAAGAGAAAAGAAAGAAAAGGAAAAAGGGAAAAGAAAAAGAAAGAAAAAGAAAGAAAGAGGAAGAAAAUAAAUAGGCAUUUGAGUAAAAUUUAGAGGUUUAGAAAAUUUAAAAUAAUUAGAAUUUAAUCGUGGAUUAAUUAUAGUCGUAAAAUUGCGAAAUUUAAUUAUAUUUUGGUAGCCUCUAUGAGUAAUCAAUUUGCGGUAGGAAUUUAGAUUUAUUUAAGAACUAAAAUAAAGGUGUUGAAUUCUUAGGAAAAUUACUUAGGAGACACAAAAUGUCUUAGGUUGAGGAAUAGUUCUAUUUCGCGAAUAAUAUAGUGGAUAUAACAAUCGACUCUCGUGCUCGCUUUUUGAUUUGGUCUUUAUUGGAUUUUAUUUGAAUUCGGAAUUCAAAUCAAUUCUUCGCACGUACUUGUAGAGCCCGAGGGAGUUGCGGAUCCGAGCGAAGGUCAAGACCCGCAAGACUUUGAGCAAGGCAAGUCAUCACUAUUCUUUGAGCAUAUUGAUCCCGAUUGCAAAAUUUAUUUUGUUUACAAAUAAGAUUGGAUGUGAUGAUGAACAUUCCACUUGUGAACUAUGCCAUGCCUUGAUUAUUGUUCAUCUUUAAAUCUUUGUAACCAUAAAUACGUAUGAGUCCCUAGUCAACUAUGACACUUGCUUAGAAAUGCUACUCUAGAUUUAUGCAUGCUCAUACUUUAUUAAAUGCUAUAUGCUUGGGCAAUUACCUUUGGGAAGUUAAUUGAGAUGCGGCAUGUGGAGACAUGAGCGCCACAUUGCCAUGAUAUGAUGACAUGAAUUAUGAAAAUAGGAAUGAAAUUAAACACUUGUUUUAGACUGGGGCGGACGGUAAUAUUGGGUGAUAUCUGGGAAAGGCUAGUACCGUCCCCGGUCAAUUAAGGACCGAGCCAUGAAGUUAAGCAUGAAACGACCCUGUACAACCACACUUCUCGUAUGGGGAUAGACCUAGCGGAGUAAAUAGCUGAGCGGAGGCAGUAUCCUUGCAUAGUGGUUUCUUGAUGUUUGAGGAUGGGGCUCUACAGUGGUACCGCCAUUGGUAGGACUGCCAUAUGAUAAUUUAGACAUAAUUAUAACUUAAUGCAUGUGCGUGAGUCUUCCCUUCCCGGGUGCGCCAGAACUCCUCUCGCUGCUAGAAACUGUGUACGCCUAGAGUGCAUGAGGAUGAAAAGUUCAUAGAGCGGAUACUGCCGAUGCCAGGUUAUCGAAAAGCUUUGCCGUGACACGUCUCAUGUGUUGGGACGAGGCUCAUGUGUUGGGCAGUCGCGGAGUGCGGGUAAAGUGUACAUCCACUGUAGUGUGAGUAAAACAAAUCUAUUCGAAUAGCCGUGCUCGCAGUUAUUGAGCACCGGGACAUGUAUUACACUUAGCUAGACUCUAAAUUCUUAACUUGUGUGGAAUGGGAUAUUGCAUGAUGAUUUUUAUGCUGUUGGAGCCACUUCCUGAGAGGAGGGAAGGUGGACAUCCUCAGAAAACCAUGACAACUCAAUGGCGGGAAGCUAUCCUUGGGAUCACAAUGGAUGGUGGACAGCACCAUCGUUGUUUAAAUAUGAACACUGGUACUAAAAUUUGCUCAGUCAAUGCUAGGUCUUAGGCUUGUGAAAAGAAUUACAAAACUUGCUUUGCGCAAAAGAACCAUAGCCAUCCUUUGAAAUACCCCUAUCAUGUGCAUUGUUGAUGUGAUGGCUUGCUGAGUACGGUUGGUACUCACCCUUGCAAAUAUAAACUUAAUCAGAGGCCGGAGAUGAAGCUUCGGAGGAUCCCUGUGCCUAUUACCAGGAGGGUGAUGAAGACGAUGGUGCUCAAUAGGUCUUAGUUACGGUCGUUGCCUGUGGCAAUGGCGUGCCGCUGCCUUAACUCUGCUGCCUUAUCUACCUCUGUUUUUGGGAUGUACUCCGGACCGCUCGGUUCGAUGAUUUAAGACUAUGCCUGCGGGCUUAUGAUGUAAUAAUUUGCACUAGACUCUCGUGUAUGUGCAUAUGGUAUUUCAGCUAUAAACUCGUGUGUACCAGACUACUUGAUCCAGGGAAAUGGUACUGUUUACACGAUUGAUUCCUGUUAUAAAAACGGGGGUCCACAAUUUUUUUCUAAUUAGUAGGGUGAUUGCUAUUUGCUAAUCAUAAGUGGGGCCCAUAUCUCUCUCCUAUCCUUCUUCUUCUUCCUCACGCACGCGCCAGAGUAGAGGAACGGCGCGCGGCCGGCGCGACGACCUGAGCCAGGACGGCUCGGCGUGCAGCAGAAAAAGCGGCGGCGCUCCGCCAUGGUCUCACCGCCGGAGCUCGUCCCUUACUUGACCAGAGACGGGACAAAGACGGGACGGAGAAGCGCGGGUGGGUCAGGAUGGCCGUCGAUGCCUUGGCUGCCGUCUUGUCCGCGGAUGGGGUAAACGAAGAUACCAAGGAAGGUCUCAUCGAUGCCCUCAUAGCCGGCGAUCUGGGCCCCAUCAUGAACACGCUCAUCGCAGCUGUUCCCAGAUCUGGUAUGGGUCCUCAAGGACGCCGGCAAUCUGCUGCAUGGCGGCAACCGUGCAGGUGCGAGGCUGCCCAGCUCGCUCGUAGAUGGUCCGGCCAGGCGCCAUCCCGACGCUCGCGCGAGUUCACCGUGGGAGACGACUAGAGGAUGAGAGAGGCAGUGGCAUCCGCGCCGGAGGCCGUGGGAAAGUUGCUCGUGUGAUGCAAGGACGACGACACUGUACAUGGGCCCACAUGUCGGCUGCAUCGAGAAGAGAGGGGCAUUCCUGUCAUUUUGAAAAUUUUCUUCCCUCUUUCGGCAUGGAAAUUAUAAAAUAAUGUCUUCGGUGUCCUACAACCAAUUACACAACUUUUGUAGUGUCCAUCGGCAAUGCCAAGUUUUACAGUGUCCCUUAGCCAAUUACUCGAUUUUUGAGUGUCCUGUAGCAAAUUUUGCCCAACAUAAAUGGUUUAGCAUUUGGUAUACAGGCUACAUAAGUGCACGACCAAACAUAAUGGACUUCGUUAGACCAAGAGAUAAGUACUCCUUAAUUCAGCUCUUGAAUGUGCUAGCUAUGAUUGGCUGUGUACAUCCUUCGGGAUGCAGAGGCCGGGUUUUAUUUAAUCCAUUAUGUAAAAAUGUGCUAUCUAUGAUGAAGACCAGCUCACGCGCAUUUAGCCUUCAAGUCUGCAAGUGUGUUCUUGUCAUAUCAAUGUGCACAUUUAGCAUUCACUAUCUUAUAAAAACACAAAUACACAUGAAUUUUCGCAAGACAUUAGGCCUAUAGAGUAGUUUUUUAGAUUUGACAAAAAAUAGGUCAGGCCCAAUGUUACAGAUUCAGAGAUUCCUUGCAGCCUGUGAGCAGGAUAUUGAAGAUGGAAGGGUUGUGCCCAACAUCUGUUCCUAGUGUAGGGCUCCUAAUUAAGUUUUGUUUGGUGAAAAACAAAAGCCACCUAAAUGUCUUUGUAUGUGUCUUUUCCUUAUACUUUUUGUAAUGCACGUCUGAUGUUUGGUAAGUUCAAUUGCAGAAAAUAGAUUGUUGCAAAACGAACGUCACUUGUAUUUUCUUUUCCUUAAUUAAGUUAUUUAAUUACCAAAUUGCUUAUGUAUAUACAUCCAUGAUUAAUUUUUUUUUUGCGGGGAACAUCCAUGAUUAAUUUGUGUGCGCUUAUUUGUGUUGUAGGUUAAUCUUGAAGGAUUUGGCCGGGCUGCGGUCACCUGUAAUCUGUAUUUUUAUCUUUACCUAGCUACUGGUCUUUGAAAUAUUAAAAAAAUAAAAAAACAUGAAAAUUAAAAAAUAUAUAUCAAAAAAUGGGAAAAUGUAAAAAAAAGGUUAUAUUUUCUUUAACUCUUGUAAAAUACAUUGUCAUGUUUUCUUAGAUGUGUGUGUUUCUUUUCUUUUUAAUUGUUUUAUUGUAGGAGUGUAUGUAACUCCGCCUAUGUCAUCUUAAGUUUAUCUAAAUGAUAUAGCCGGUCCCAAGCCCGGAAAAAGGAGGAGGGUAUAAUCUUGUAUAGAUGUUGGUUGAAAUGAUGCUCUCCUGCUACAUAGUGGAUCAUUGGGAUUUUUUUGUACUUUUAUCAUAUUAUUUUCAUUUUCAAUGAUGGAAUAGUUAUGGAGACACUUCUGUAGACUCAUCCAGUCUUAUUGCUCUGUUGGACACAUCUGAUUCUAAACUAAGCUUGACCAGACCACCAGAUCUGAGAGUUACGUUGCAAAUUGAGAUAGACAAGUAGGUAAAGGAAAUUCAGUGCCAGGCAUGACAAGAGGCAGGGCACCCCAGAUAAGGUGUGCAACGAGACAUUCGAGUCUCUGAGCUCAUAUAUGCCCAAAGUCCUGAACAACUCGAUACAAUUUUGCUACAAGAUCAAAUCAUAACGGCUAGAUCAAGGUAAGUUCUAUUUUUAUGUCGGUUUGGCCGAUCUAGCUAAUGAAUUGACAAAAUAUAAGUACAGUUACAUACCCACUAAUCAAUAAAGACAUCCCCAUGCUAAAACAAGUAUGAAAGAAAUGUGCAUAUCCCUCAGUAUCUAAAAGAAAAUAGUUUUAAGUUUUAGCCUAUAAGUUUAUCCCACAAAGAUUAUUUUUACAGUGAGGUUCACUAGAUCUCUUUAAUACUACUUUAUAUUUUUCUCCCUCCUUCUCUUUUUUUUCUCCUCAUUAAUAGAAUACAAUGUUCUUUUAGCCUCCUACUUAAUCUAUCUUUGAUAGCUAAAACUACAUUGUUUUAGAAACGGAGGGAGUAUGUGAGUGACAGGUUACAACUUACAACAAUCAUUGUCUGAUGUGUCACUUGCUUCGGUUCACAAUAGGCUGUGAACUUUAUGUGUUGCUUCGGUUUGUUGUUCCCCUAUUGUUUUGUUGCUAGCUGCUAUGCUUGUCAUCAGUUCCUGUGAUGAACGUGGCGGUCUGAAACUCUGUAAGCCUGCAGGUCUCACUCUCUGUCUCUCCUCAUUCCUGAGUCCUGACAGCCUGUGGCCCAUUUCUGCAUUUAGUCCUAAUUAAUGAAUUUACCUAGCCAGUUGACACCAUCAGGAGGGAAAAAUACUGAAGACUCUGUGAACCCUGCAAUCUAGUAGUUUACAUGUUUAUUCAAAUGAGCAAAUAUUCAACUCCCUCAUGGACUCUGAAAUAAGAAUUGAGUUUUGCAUUCAUUUCUUGUGCUCUUCAGUUAUUCAGUUCAGUUCUAUAUAGUGUCAGGACUAUCAUCUGAACUGUUUCGGGUUCAUGAACAAUAACUGUUAAGUCCAUCUAAUAAGUUCAGUUAUUCUUCCCCUGAAUGACUAAUGCAGCAAAGCAAAGCAAUGCUGAAUCGCAUCCAGUUUAUCUUAAUUUGGGUUCCUGUGCACACAAUUUGGGUGAACUUGUAAAGUUCAAAUGCCAAAUGUGAUUAGAAGCACAUUUAGUUAGUUGCUGAUGGAGGUGUAUAGGGCUUUUGUAUGUAUGGAUUGUGGUAAGGCUUGUCAGAAGUUGUAAUUCCUACCUCCAGUUUCAGAUACAUGGCAGAAUUUCACCUGAUGGCAUUUGAUCGUUAUGUUCAGAGAUGCUCAGUUGCUCACUACUGAUGCUGUAGAGCUCACUCCCCCAAAUUUGCAACCCUCUCAUGAACUCUGAAAUUAGAAUCGAGGUUUGUGUUCAUUCCUGUACACACUUGAGCUAUUCAGUUCCAAUUUUCAUCUGAAUCGUUCUGUGUUCAUCUACAAAGCAAAGCACAUCUAGAGCGCAUCCAGCGAUGAGAAGAGAAAAGGGGAGGAAAACGAGAGGUUCGCCCCAAGAUCCGGCCGAGCCUCGUCGAACAGCUUCGCGCUCCGCCACCUAUCUCCGGCGCCGACGACGUGGGGCUCGGCGGGGAUUUACCUCGUCAGAGAGCUCGUUCGCUUGCCGUCGUCGCAUCAACGGCAAUGCAAACAUAUAAUGUCUCCCUGACUCGUGGGGCCCACUUGAGGGCAAGAACGCAACAAUGACGCGUGUCUCUCCUGCUUGAGAACUAACCAGCAGCCGCUCGCCGGAGCUCCUGCCGGAAACCCCAAAUCUCGGCGCCCGUAUCCGGAGGCGGUUCGUGUCCCGUUGGUUCUUGGAGACUUGGACUCCUAUCCUCGUUCAGAUCAGGGGCGCUGUUCAGUUCUUGUUUAUCCAGCAGGGCGCACCGAAAUUUGCAGAGGAAUCUCAAUCUCCAAACUGGUAGGAAGAGAUUUUGGUCGAUAGAAGUAGAGUUCUUGUUUGUUCUUUGGUCUGUAGAGUUCACUAGUUCAGAUAAUCAUGUCAUCAACACCAUGAAUUGAAAGAGAUGCUGUACUGCUGUUUAUUGUGUUUACUGUUUAAUUCGUAGUAUCCAUCAAACCUGUAUCUGUUUGGGAGAAUGUUCGAUCAAAUUCAACUCAUGACCAAAUUCGUGUUAGGCAAAUAUUCACAUUCAAUCUGUUACUUCCUCCGUUUUACAAUGUAAGUCAUUAUAGUAUUUUUCAUAUUCAUAUUAGUUUUAAUGAAUCUAGAUAGAUAUAUAUGUCUAGAUUCAUUAACAUCAACUAGGAAGGAAGCCCGCGCAUAUGCGCGGGCAAUUUAUUUAUUGUCUAUAAAAAGAAUAUUAAAAGAAGCCCUAUCACACUAUAUUCACUGUAAGAAAUAGAUCAUAGAUUUUGAUAGUACUAAAUGAUAAGAAUGUGUAUCAUAUCCAAACAAAAAAUCACUUUGUUCCGGUUAUAUGUAAAUUCGCCUAUCACCCCUACUUAUUAUUAUUGUCUUGGAAAUAUGAGUAUCUUUUUAAUAGAUAGAAUUGUAGUUAUACCUAAAAGUAAACCCAAUACACCAUUAAUGCCAGAAAAAGUUAAAUCUCCACAUCAUACCCAAGUGCCUAUGUCUCACAUGUGUCCAAAUCUAUAUAUAAAUAUUUAAAAGUACUGCUUCUACCAAUUAAUAGGAUAAAACCGUUUAACUUAUAUAAGAAUGCCUCUCUAACGAUCGGGUGAAGCCGACUAUAGCCGUUAAGGUUUUUCUUUAAUGCCUUAAUUCAUGGUCUCGUAUUGAUAUAGUCGUGCUCCUCAAGUAGGCCAGUUAAGCUCUAUUUUCAAUGGUAACCUGUAAAAUCGGACCACCUCAACCGAAUAAUGCAUACUCCUGCAUAGUUUACUACAACGUAGCCAAUUGAGAUUCAUGCUUGGCACCCUUUAGGGAAUGAGUGAAAAAAGAUGGAGGUAAUGAAAAAAAAGGUUUUUUUGUGUCUUGAGUUGAUUUAAUGUAUAGAGUAGACAUAAUGUGUUUAUGAUGUUAAUCAAUGGUACUAAAUUUUAGUAGUAAAGACAUAUUGUUUAAAAAAGAUUAGUAUGGAUCAUUCGACUAUCUAAUAUCUUCAGUGGCGAGGAUCACAUAAAAAAUAUAUGCUCUCACGAUGAUCAUUUGCUAACAUAUGGUUUUGAUAUUUUUUUUACUUGUAUUAUACAUCUAAUUCACCUAUGCAUGUAAGUAGGGUUUAAUAUGCGUUGGAAUUUGUGCUAAUUUGUUAACACUAUUUGGAUGAGACCAACAAAAAAUAGAUAUAAUGUAGUUACGUGUAUGUUUUUUUUUUGGGGGGGGGGGGACAGUAGUCUCUCGUACAUACGUUUGUUUUUCUUUUUUUUGGACAAAAUUUUUUCUAAUGUAGGGAUAGGGUGUACGCAUGUGUACUCCCAGUGUGCUUCUGCACAUAUUUAUAUGAGUUCAUAUGAUUGUCUUUUAAAUUAUUAGUAAAAAGAAUACUUUCGAGAAAAUCAAUGGGAAGAGAGUGGAGCAAAGGGUGGCGUAAGGCAGUUGCAUAUGGCAUGGCUUGUUUUACCACCUCAGUAGGAGUAGUUGCUACAUUUAUAUACCCUCAAUUUGGGAAAAUCUUAGAGCUGGAAAGAAAGAGAAAACUACCAGAUGGGACGGAUAAUAUACACACUCUUUUUUUUCUUUUUAUAUCUCUUAUCUACAUACUUACGUAGGAGUUGUGUACGUACGUAUGCACAGAACUAUACGGUUUUUAGCACAUAGGGAUUAGUUUAGUAUAUCUAAUUUAAUGGUUGAAAAUAAUGGAUCAUUGAUUUAAUUGUAAACUGAUGGAUAAAUAUUUUACUUUUUUAUAUAAUUUUUCAUAGAUUCUCUCUAAUUUAUUAGAGCAUCACGUGGCAUCUUAGGAGUAUUUGUAGAAGUGUAGGAAUAGUAUUACUCAUAGGUGUAAUGUACUUGUAGUCCACUAUUGUUUGUAGUAUAUUGUUUUUAUAUUCUAUUUACCUAUAAUUUGUUGAUGGUUGCGCACUUAGUAUCACCCUUUAUCUUCGGUGUUGGAUGACACACGUGCUCAUUAGAUAUCAGCUAUCGUUUGGUGCAUUGUGCAUGGAUAUCUCGUAAGUAAUAUUAUUUAGCGAUUUGUGGACAAUGGCUUGUAUAUAGAAUUAUAUAUGGAGAUAAGUGAGGACAUAUGUUCGAUAUUUUAGGUUAUGAUUAACCAAGAAUAUUGUAUACUACAUAUGUUUAGUACCCUAAGUAACAAAUUUAAGAUUGUGUUCUAAAGUGCUUAUCAGAUUGGCUACUCUCUUAUUUAUAUUGAACAUGUUUCCCGAAAUUGCUAAACAUGUUUCCUGAAAUUGCUAAACAAUAUAUUAUAUGGUGCAUGUUUUGCAAAUACUUUUUAUAUAAAAGUUUUUUUUUAGAAAGAUCAACUAAAUUUAUUUUUGCUUUUUAAUAUUUAAUACAAAAUUAAACAUGUGCUAAUGACUUGCAUUAUUCCAAGUGCCUACAUAAACUCACCCAAUAAGCUUGAUCUAACGAAGUUUAAAGUAGGAGAUAAAGGACAACGACACGAUGUAAAAAUAAUAUAUUUGAUAUUUAAUUUCUAAUAAUAUAUAAAUAAAGAAAAAACAGUACAUAAUAAAUUUACUAACCUCAUUUUAAUAUAUUAGUUUUUUUUACAGUAUGGAAUGAGUAAUUUUUGAGGGUGCUAUUUAUAACUGGGUUUUUUCAUUUUCAAAACGCAGGUCUAAUAGUGUACUUCCUCCGUAUAACCUUGUAAGACUUUCUAGCAUUGCUCACAUUCAUUUAGAUGUUAAUGAAUCUAGACAUAUAUGUGUUUAGAUUUAUUAACAUCUAUAUGUAUAUAGGCAAUGCUAGAAAGUUUUACAUUGUGAAGCGGAGAGGGUACAUGUUAUGUUUUUUUCUUUUUCCGGGGGUACGUACGUGUGUGUGUUUUUUUCUAUAUAGUAUUCGUAUGUGACUGGGUACGUACAUAUUUUCUUUUUGUCAAAUAGUGUACGUGUUAUGGUUUUUUUUUCUUCUCCGCCGGCAUGAGAAGUGAAAGAAAAGCGUACACACACAAAGGGGAAACGGAGGUCAGAUGGAUACGUGGAUAGUACGUACGCUACGGAGGGAUCAUACUUGCGUUGGACGGAUGGAUCGAGAUUUUGAUUUCCUUUUAAGAUAAAUCUAACGAUCAAAAUUAAUGGGUCCAUCAAUUUAAAGGAAAAUCGACGGUCAGAUUUCUCUAUUUUAAUAGAGUGACAUGUGGCGACUCGAGAGCGUUUAUAGGAUGCCACAUGUCGAUUUAGGAGCGUUUGUAGAAAGUUUAAUGGACUUAAAUCUAACGAUCAAAAUUAAUGGGUCCAUCAAUUUAAAGGAAAAUCGACGGUCAGAUUUCUCUAUUUUAAUAGAGUGACAUGUGGCGACUCGAGAGCGUUUAUAGGAUGCCACAUGUCGAUUUAGGAGCGUUUGUAGAAAGUUUAAUGGACUUUUAGUAUAUAAUAGAAGAUAGAUAGAUAAUAGAUAGAUAGAUAGAUAGAUAGAUAGAUAGAUAGAUAGAUAGAAGAUAGAUAGAUAUGAAUGUGGGAAAUGAUAGAAUGCCUUAUAUUGUGAAACGGAGGGAGUAAUACGUUUAACUGCAGUUCUCAACAUCUCUCGAUCGACGAGCAAGCUGUGGCUGCUGCUGCAAUUCGGCCUGCAAUUCAAGUGCAGCAAUAUGUUGUGUGCAAUUUGUGCAUUAGUGCACAAGUUGAGAAUGGUAAUAUUAUUUCACUCGGAAGAGAUGGAACAGUUGUGAAAUGCAGAACCACUCGGUUCAGAGAAUAGUCCUGGACAAAAGGACAGAAAAUGGUCCAAUGGUGACAAUUGAUCAUUUUUACAGUGAAUGGUGAGCAACUGAUCAGCAUCGACCAUGGUGAAGCUGAACCUGAUAAGUCGACAGCACUAGGGGUGAUGAUCCUAGCCACCCAUAAAUCCUUUCUUGUAUAUUUCCUAACAUAUAUAAGUCAGCAAGUCAAAUGUUCUUAUCGUUUUCUUUAGUCGAUGGUUCAUCGAUUCUGACAUCAAGACAAGAAGCCAACAUACUGCUAGCCAUGUUCCUUUCCUCUUGGCUCACAUACGGCCAUUUGAAUGGAUUAGAUUCAGAAAUAAUACAAUAUCUCGUCUUUCUUUCUUAAUUACUUACAUGAGUUGGCCGGUGCGCAACUCUGCCGCCGGCUACCGCCUGCUGCGCAGAGAUGCAAGUGGGUAGUCCCGCUACCCGUAUAAAAACCCGCUUGCUAGUAUAUUUUUCGUAUGGUAGUACGAAAUUUAGAAGAAAAAAUGAACUAGAAGUAGGAUAAGCGGGACAAAAAAAAAAGCCCGCUUGCCCGGCCCGCUUGCAUCCCUAUGCUGCGCGCCAGGUUGAGCUCCUCGGCCGCGAGCGUGCCCCGGGUCCACUACGCUGCAGCUCUCCCUCCGCUCGCGCCUUCCUUCGUGCCCGAUAGAUGCGACCGCGCCCUCUGGACUCCCUCACCCACCUCCGUGCCCCACGCCGGUCAGGCGGCCAACACGCGCCUCCUCCGCCAUUGUCGACGUUUGAUGUCGCGAUUCCGGUAUUUGCAUAGUAUGGGGAUCGUUGGUACUAGGAUAUACGCGAGACUGAGGUAAAAGAGAUGGGGACGAGGAUUUUUAUAUAGGUUCGGGCCCCUGAAUUGUCAGGUAACAACCCUACAUCCUGUUGGCCGAAGCCGGUAUUACUCUUAUUCACCAUAAUCACACCAGUAUAAUAUGUGGGGUAGCCUAUCUAAUUGUUGUCGACAUGGCGGUCUGAAGGUCUGACUCGUAGUCGACAACAGGGUAAUCUUCCUCCUCGAAUCCGUGCCCGGCGAGAUCAGAGAUAGCGCUUUCGUCUCUCCCGACAGUAUCCGGAGACACCGUAGGGGACUAGCCAUGCUUAUCCCUGAAGUUGAUAUCCAACGUCUUGUCUUGGCGUAUGUUGGCUUGUAUGUUGUGGCUUCUGUUGUUCCGUGUCCCCUCUCCUCCUAGGGGGCCUUGUAUUUAUACCCAUAGGUGUCUCCUUGUCCUAGUAGAACUAGGGAAACCAAUAUGGAUAUAGUCCGAGUAAUCCUUGUCGUUUCCAUGUAGAACUCUGGUUGUCUUUCCUUAUCCAGAACUCCCUCCAUAUCUGAAGUCAGUUUCCGUAUUAGACAUGGUAUGUGGUGGGUCCUGCCGAGAUGUAGUCGACUACUAUUAGGUAUGUGGUAUCCAUAACCCUGAUAGUAGCCCCUGACUUCAAUGCAAAUGAACGAAUUCAUAUUCUCGACCACUGACCAUGGAGUAACUGUUAUCGAGCUCAAGUGACCAUUCUCGGUGAGUUCAGAGAUAACGUUAGACUUCCUUUAUCAGCCUCGUGCGGGCACCUAAAGGGUUUGUCUCAGUCCAUCUCCAACGUCAACCAAGAAAGUACAGAACAUUCGACUAAGUCUCCCGUCUUGCUGUAAUCGAGAAUUUGGAUUGAAGUCAAGAAAUUUUAUCUCGGCGGGUACACCAUCUCUUCAAUCCGUAUUCCUUGCCGAGAUCCACCAACUGUUCUCGAGCGAUCGAGAAGGCGUAGAAUCUGCGACGGAGCCUUGUCAACAUUUGUCGUACUCGCCUUAGUCGAUCUUGGUGUAGAACCAUAGAGACAUGGAGUCUUCCACAACGUCGAAUAGAAUUUUCCUGAAAUCAAUACUCAGAAAAGAAUAUCAAAUAGAAAUAGCCCCCGGGCGAACGCUCAAAGGGUGACAUGUUAUAGUAUGUAUGGAAAACUGAAAAUGAGUUAAAUUUACAGACCAAUGUUUUGUAUAUGAGCGCCUUCUCUCUUACCGACUUCGAUCAGUCAGUUUGUUGAGUCAUACACUCUCCCUAGCCCCCAGCCUUGUCGUCGGAGAAUCGUUCUCGGAGGAGAAGGCUCUUGGACCCUUGACCUGCCUUGGUUGAACAAGCACUAAUUCUAGCCCCCAGUCGUGAAGUUGGAAAAUCCAAUUUCCGAUUACACGGCUUGGUUAAUACGCACGGCGAGAACUCUUACACGACCAGAUCUUACGUGGUCUUUUGUCUCUACAGGAUCCGACAAGGCCUUAUCGGCUCUAGGCGCCCCCAGCCAAAGUUCCCUUAGGUUCCUCGGAGGCCUUGUCAAGACGGCGUAAAGGGACAUGAGGAUAGGUUUCAAUGCUAGGUGUCGUCAUGGUAAGGGAUCUCUAGGUAAAACACUUAGCAAUAUUGUGUAUCUGAUAUCAACUUUGUUCGAGUAGAGGUAAUGGGAGAAUCGCUACACCGUUGGUCAAAAACCAGUUGUAGCCCCAACUCGACCACUUGAAACAAAGGUAGUGGGAGAAUCGCUACACCGCUGGUCGAGGACCAGGUAGUAGUCGUAACUCGACCACUUAAAAGUGGAAAUAGUGGGAGAAUCGCUACACCUCUGGUCGAUAACCAGGUAGUAGUCUUAACUCGACCACUAGAAGUAAAUGUACGAGAGAUCGCUACGAUUAACUGGUUGAGAACCAGUGAGUAGGUGUCUCUCGACCAUUUGGAGUUGGUACGAGGGCCGUUAUGCUACCGGUCGAAGACUAGUCGUAGCUGUCCCUCAACUAUCCGAAGUCAUCUGAAGUCGUGGUGCGAGGACCGUUACGCUAUUACCAUAGUUGUACCUCGACCAUCAGGAUUUAAGGCACGAGAGAUCGCUACGUCCUACUGGUUUGAGAACCAUGAGUAGAAUUAUCUCUCGAGCACCAAUGGAAGCUGCGGUGCGAGAGAUUGCUACGGUUUACAGGUUCGAGAACCAGCGAGCGAGUAGAAUUAUCUCUCGAACACCAAUGGAAGUUUGCGGUGCGAGAGAUUGCUACGUACUUGUUCGAGAACCAGCGAGCGAGUAGAAUUACCUCUCGAGCACCAAUGGAGGCGCUAGAGUUGGUUUAUUACAUGUGCAUCUCAUGUGGCCAGCAUGACUCACAUACCCAACUUAUAGCAUAUCCGGAUGUCCGUUCGCAAUCAUGUCGGGUGAUCAAGCCGACGACGUUCGCGAGGAAUUAUCCGUUAACAACCUUUUCUCGAGUAGCUCAGCCAUGGCUGGUGUCGCGACCGAGAAAAUUACCUUUUCCCGAACGCUAGUGUAUUAAUCCCCGUCCCAGGAAAAGCCGGGGUACACCACACAAACAUGAAACAAAAGGCACAUCUUUAUUAUAUCGAUAAUAUUUACAUUAUUACAAAGGCACUUCAGGCAUGACAAACAAAAAUAAACAGCAGCGGACUAGCGGGCCUACGGCUCCAUCUUCACAGGCGCUCAACUGGGGUAUAAGCCAGGACUCCACCUAAGACUUCUUCUCCAAAGCUUCUGUUACUGAAGGGGGAAAGAUUGAGCAAGAAUGAGUACAACCACAGUACUCAGCAAGUCACACCGGAAAUGCAUAAUUAAUGCAAGGGGGUACAAGGGGAUAAUAAUAUAGGGGUUAAGUUUUGCAGUAAACAGCAUUUAAAAGUCAUUUAGUUGCCCAAAGCCAUUUUAUAAAGACGAUCCUAGAGCUACACAGUAUUAUUAAUCAAGGCCGUGAACCCACACGAACCUGCCUUAACCCAAGGCCUACGAUGAUUCAGACCGAACUGGCAACCCGACCCUGGGUCCCAGCUCGUCCCAAGCCAACCCAGGCCAAUCAUUCCACAUUUUAGUUAUUAAGCAGGUUUUAAGAAUUUAAAACACUAACUUGGGUACAUUGCUAGGCUUGCCCAUAACCGAGGGCGCGGCUAUUCGAAUAGGUUUUACUCUGAUCAGAGGUGUACAUCUUUACCCACAAGACACGUCUUCCUCACGUGCAACCACGUGCCACAUACCACCACGGCAUAUGGACGGAAGACAUGACAUAGUUUCCAACCCAUCCUAGCCAUAGACAAGAGUACCGACCCAACCCACCUACGGCCGGAACCCCCGGACAGGCAGGCAGAAUUGAGCCCCUAGCAGCAGGACACCAGCCCUGUGCCAUGACAUCUCGACUACCGGGCCGCAGCCCGUGUAGCCUUCAUUUGUCCUAGAGAUGUCCAUCGACCCCCGACUUUGUCCAUCUCCAUCCGUGUACUUUUGUUUAUAACCAGACUGAGCCACAAACUAAGCCUUACCCACUUGACAUGUGGAAGUACGGUAGUGCUUUGCAACAGAGGCCCGAAGACCGAGGUGCUGCUAACAAAACCAUGCACCCCGAGCCCAGCCUAAAACCAUUUUGAGGGUUUUGAAUAGAGGGAGAGGUGUGCAUCCAAUUCCACAAUAAUCCAACCAUUCCAUAGUGUCCAAGUGACAUGAAUAUUCCCAAAGUCUAGAGUUAUAAAACCACCUAAUGUUGCCUAGUUAAUCAGCGAAGCAUCUACCUAAAUUCAUACUAGUGGAACCAUGAAUAGAGUAUCCACUAGCUGGGGUUUUGUUUAUUCUAGGGUGAACAAGGUAAUAAUAACAAUAGCAAUAAUAAUGUCAUAACGAAGGUAAAUAGGCAUGGCUAAAUAAAACAGUGAUAACGCGGGAAUUUAAAUAAAGCGGUAAUGCAUUAAUUUAAAUCAAAAUAAUUUUAUAAACUGGGAUUCAAUAUGCUCAAGAAUAAUGUGACUUGCCUUGCUCAAAGAGAACGGCCUUCCGAACCUUCGGCGACGAUCGCGAACCACGCUUCGGGAACCUCCGGAACGACAGAAGCUACGCGAAGCACACAAGCAAAGCUACAAGCCUAUAAAGAAGCAAUAACAAUACAUAAAAAGAAAGCACACGGUUCUUUAGGUUAUAAUAAACAUUAGGAGACUUGAACGGGUCGAUUCAGAGUUCGUAUGACCAAGAUAUGAUCAUCCGAAGUUUAAUGCUGUUAUAUGGAGAUUUGCGGAUUAUUAUAAUUAGGCUUUGCAACUAUAAAACAUGUGAAAGCGCUAGCCUGGAAAAGACAGGAAGGCUGCGCUGUUGACAUGCGGACCCCACAUGUCAACCUAAAGGACCGCGGUAGACCGAGUACACAGAGACGGUCCACGGGUCGACGGAAGCGGACCCCGUGUGUCAACUGAGGCGAGUAGCCGACAAACGGACUCCACUAGACACCACGCGGGCUGCACACGUGGAAACCACGUGGCUACCGAGCGGGCACACUAACACGGACACUACACGGUCACUUCCCGCACACGUGAACGACUACCGACACCGGUACACGGGUACCGGGGUCGACAACCGCACAACGGGUACGGGGCGACAACGAAAGGACAAGGACGGGGCAGCGAGAGGACGGAUCCUUACCACCACACGACGAGGCGAGGGAACGACAACGACGAACGGGCGCGGCGGAGGCGGCCGGGAACGACGGAGACGAACGGCGAGGGGACGACUUCGGUGGCGAUCCUUGGACAAAGGCGAGACGCGGCCGGCACGAGGCUUGACGACGCGGAGCCGAGGACGAAGACGACGAUGGGGCUGCUGCACACUUGACGAAACGCGGGCGGCGAACGCGAUCGGCUUGACGGAGGGACGAACGCCACGACGAUGAGGACGACGAGAGGACGACGACGACGACGACCGGGGCCGGCGAGGAGACGACGAGGGCAGCCGGCGGCAGCUGCAUGGAGACGGGGACGACGGGGAACGCGCCGCUGCGAAUCCGACGACGGAGGCGGCGCCGCGAGACGACGAGCCGGCGAGGACGAAUGAUGACGACGACGACGAACACCGGCGGUGUUCGGGUGGAGGGGAGGCGAGGCCGAGGGCGACCUUGCCGCUAUGAUGCCGGAGGUGGUGGUGGCGCAGCGAGCCGACGAGCCGGGGAGGAGGAAGGGGCGGCCGAAGGGACGCCGGCGACGACGAGGAUGGAGAGGCCGGCGCAAUGCUUGACGACGCGGUCUCCGGACGAAUCAGAGGGCAGGCCGGGGUGGAGGUCGACGCGGCGACGCCGAGGGAGGAGACGGCGCGGCCGGCCCACACCUGAGCGGCGCGGCAGGGGCGGCUGGAGGCAGUACAGUGGCGGCAACGCCACUGGACGACGGCGGGAACGCGCCUCCGGCAGUCACCGCGCGAAACGGAGGGCAGGCUGUCGUAGGCUCUCCAGACCUUCCAUUAUAUUUGAGAGAUGAAGUGAAUAAUUCAAGUCAUCAAACAAGCAUAAUGAAACAUCCGACACCUCGAGAGAGGAAUAUUGGAGACAUUGCUGGGCCCUUAGCCUGCCAGUCAACUUCAGCCUGAGAUGUGCCCGUCAAACCACUCGAAGGCGGCGACCAGAUGUGUUACACAUUCAGGAGACUUGACAAAAAUGGCUAAAGAUCUACAACCUCUCAAAUAUUCCUAACUCAUACUCAUGUGAAUCUAGUUCCCAGGAUGUGCACUAGAUUCACACUUUCAUCUUAAGCAUGGUUACACAUAGCAAACACAACUAAGAUGAAAGAAACUUAAGACUUACAACAACUUAAUAAUUACAUAGGCCGACCGCCCAAAUAGACUUAUUAGAGAACAGCGGAAGCUUGACUACCCAAACACAAGCACACCGACUAAGGGUAUACCCCAUUAAGUUCUCAUCCUAGAAGAAGCAAUCGGAACCCGCAUCACUCAAAGACUAAGACUAAACCUGCAAACAAAAGGUUAUAUCAAACAGCAAGAGUCAGUACAUUAAACAAGUUAAUGUACUGGCAAGCACAAGUCAAUCCUACCAUACUACAUGUAAAGCAUAUAUUCAAAGGAAGACAAUAUGUAGCUCAAUUUCAGCAUAAAGCAAGUUUUGUUUCGCAAUUCUUUUGUAAAGAAGUUGAUGCUUCAAUUAACAAAACAAGUUUUAAGUUUUAACAUUAAGUUUAUCAUAAUUCCAUCAUAAUCAAUCUCUUGUUGUCAUCCUUGAACAACAAGUCAUAAUAUAUCAUCACACUCACACAACUCAACACGUUUUAUCAAUUUCAAAUCAAGUCACAUGUUCACAUUUUAAAUCAUAAAGCCUAUACUCAUGACACAUCACCAAAGCGCUCAUGACCGUGAGCACGGCUAAUCGAUUAGUUUAAAGAACUCUGCAGAGUUUGUACAGCUUUACCCACAUGAUAUGAACUCUCUAGUUUGUUUUGAGUUUGCAAGACUCCACCACACUCUUCAUGUUGAAUGUGAUCUAGAGGUCAUAACGAAGCCUUUACACUACUUAGAAUCUAGCCUUACACCAGCACGAUACGUGUUCCUCCAUCCUAGGCAUACUUGGAAAUAUGUCUAGAACCGUUAAGUGGCGGGCCCACGCCUUAAACUUAACGCCGUGGUGGCGGACACAACGGGAACCCACCCACGUGGCACAAUACCGUUGUAUUGGACAGACUUAGUCACCUAAACUACCACGUCGGGGCAAAUAGGAAGUUCCUCUGAAUCAUCGACUAAUUCCUCAUAAUUAUCGACUAACUCAUACACACCGGCCUACCAGAAUGCAAGGCUAGUCCUAAAUAGAUUAAUCAGCUUAGGCCAUCCCAUACUAGCACAUGUGGAUGUACGAAUAACUUUAAAUGGGUGACACAAGUUCGGUCCUUAUGGACUUGGGCAAACACUCCCCCUAUCGGUAUGCAACUAACACUAUAUGCACACCACUUGCUGCCCAAGUAUAAAAUCACAUUUUACACAUUUUAGUUCGCAAAUACCCAUCAUAUUCAUUUUAUUCCAGCAAAGGUUCAAGUAUCAAAAUCACAUUUUAAUUAUAGAUGGAAUGAACAUUUGCAUAUUUCUAAGCAUGGCUAAGCAAGUAAUUGCACAUAGAGCAUAUAUAAACCCAUUUGAGCACAAAGAGUGUACUCUAACCAUUUCUAGGGGUUCAAACAGCAAGAGGAUCAAUUAUUCAAGGUGGAAUAUGCAGCAAAUAGGUCAUAACUACCUUAACCCAAUUUCAAAUACCGAUAUAGUCUAAGUUCACAUGCAACUUUGCAAACAAAUAUUUUCAUUCCUCAAAUCAUGGGAUUCAAUGUGUUCAAAGGAUGGGAGGAGAAAACUUGCCUUGAUCAGAGAAUUGUUAGCACCUAAUCCACUCCUUCACCGAUUAUGCAAUUAUCUAGAUAAAGGACACGAUAUCCAAUUAAACACCGAAAGAGCUGAAAAUCCAAAAUGCUCUAAAAUGCAUGAUUUAUGCACAGUGGGUUGGUACUGAUCUAAAAUGAAUUUAGGUGAAAUAAUUCCUAUUUUAUUUUAUUCCAUUUGGGAGUUAUGAAUUUUAGAAGUUUUAUCGGUUUAUAGUAGUAUAGUCUUAGGUAGUGUUAUGAAAUACUUUGGUAAAGUGAUUUUUACUAGAUUAGACUUCAUAGGAGUGUGAAGUUGUGUUUUCUAAGACUAACACAUUUGGUUUCACAAUUUUUGGAGUUAUAAUGAUUUCUUUAUGCAUUUUACAAGUUAUAACGUGUUAUUGGUGUAUAGUGUUUUAUAUGUUCAUGACUUUUGAGUUAUAGGUUCAGAACAUGCUACUUCCUGUAUAAGUUGAAUAAAAGGAAUAAUUUGGUUAUCUAAAACAUUUUUAGUUCACAUGUUUAUGGUCUUUACUAGUAUGGUUCAUAUUUUAUAAACUAGAGAUGCUCUAAUCUAAACUAGCAAUAUAUUAUAUUAACCUAGAAAUUGUUAUAUGAGCUAAGUUCUUCUAAGUUUUAGUGGAUGAGGAUGGAACUAUGGCUUCACUGGUCAAUCAAGUUUUUAUUUAGGUUUAAUUAGACCUAAAGUGUAUAUAUAUACUUAUACAUGUUUAUGUAUUAAUUAAACAACACUAUGUGUUUAAAUUCUUAUUUCACUAAGUUAAGGUUUUGAUCAAUGUUCUCUACAGAAGGUGCCAAAUUUUAUUUUACUAUGUUGAAGAUAACUAUUUGCUGGUUCUAUAGAAACUUUGUUCAUUUCAUUUGGACUAAAAUGAAUUUUCUACAAGUUUUACAAAUUAAUGGCUGCUCUAUGUUAGUAAAUCCUUAUAUGAAUAUUUAGAGACUUUUACUACACAGCAAGUAUAUAAUAUUAUUUCAUAACUUGGAAAUACUUGUGUUAGUGAUCCUACAUAACUUAAGUUUAUUCAAAUUGAAGCUAAAUUGGGUUCUACAUGAAUUUCUAAAGUUUAGCUUAUCUAAAACUAGUCAUUUUAAAGAUAAUAGUUUUAGAGGCUUUUAAUGCAAAGUAAGUAAUUACUUUUAUUUCACUUAAUCAGAGAUUGUAUGAUGAUGAAUGAUGAAUCUGUAGAAUUUGAUUUUGUUUCAAAAUGAGUUGAAAUGAAUUUUCUAUGUAUUUUAUAAGUUUGUACAUGUUUUAUGCAUGACUUAUCUUAGAUAAAUCUUAGAGACAUUAUUUGUACAGUAAGUGUCAAGUUUUAUAUUCCUGGAAUAAAGUUCAUAACUUCAAGAAUCUACAGAAACUGGAAUCACUUCAAAAUGAGCUAUAUUUGAUUUUAUAUAGAUUUUACAACUUUGUGCAUUUUUCUGCUAAACAUAUAAUUGUUUGGGCAUUUUCCUAAUUUUUCUUCAGAUUUUAAAGGAUGGGUCCACAUGGCUGUGAGGGACCAAUAUGCACAAAGGCCCUUGAUGUUUCUAGGAAUCAACCCGCAGUCCUAGGCCCAUAUGUCAGUUACUAACAUUUUGCGCAAAAACCUCUGGUUUCUCGGGAAAUAGAUCCCGCAGUCCCCUAGUUUUAGGUUUGUAUGCAAAACAAUGCUUGAGUUUUAGUUUAUUUACAGAUUAUUACUGGUCCUACUUGUAAGUGACUGUUCCAGUUGUUAAUACAUCCCUGGGAGUCUUUAAAUUUCAAAAGCCAUGCCCUUGCUCUGGACAGAGCAGAGCAGCAGCACAGCCGUGAGCUUCACAGCAUCACCAGUGGCGAACAAUGGCGAUUCAGCUUAAGCUCCCAAAACAAAAAGUGUAGAGAACAACCGUGCGAACCUAUUGGUGGCUUUCUGGCAAGAUUUGGUGCUCUAUAGCGGCUGUUAGGGUGUUAGAGGCGGUGGCUAAGCUCGGCUUGCACAUGCAUGUGGGUUUUGAGGCUCGAUUUAAUCGUGCAUGCGUAUGAUAAGGACUCUAGGGACUACUAGGAGGCUCACCAAGAAUCAAACGCGGCUCGGCGAAGUCUUGGCGACGGUGUACUGGUUCGGCGACGGCGCAACUGCUACGGUCGUCGUCGACGGUGUACUCCCGGGCUUCUACUGCAUAUAGAGGGUGCAUGCUUCGGUUUAGAUCAGCACAAGGUAGCUCUAGGCGAAAAAGAUUGCGCCGAAGCUCACCAGAGAAGGAGAAAGAAAGGAAUGGCGGCGGCGGCCAGAGCACGACGGUGUUCCGAGUUGACGCGGUCGCGUUCCCGGAGAUUGGCUGCACUAAAAGAGGCGUUCUUGGUGGCGUUAGAGACGGCAUUGAGAGGGAAUUACAGAACGCUUAUUGAACGGAAAUGGAGCUCACCGGAUUUCGACGGCGUCGAGGACUUAUCUCACCGGCGCCGGAGUUGGCACCCCCGUUCCCGGCGAAUCUGAGGCGGGGUACCUCGGUUCUUCCGCGAAACGAGACAGGGGCGAGAGAGAGUGAGAGUUGGUCGGCCGGUCGGGUUAAGUACGGUCGCCGGCGGAGAUGGGGAGGAGGAGCUCGCCCUCUUCCGCGCUCAACGCGUGCUCACACGCGUGGCGCGCGGGGUCUGAGUCGUGGGCCCGUGUGGAGAGGGAUGUGAGGCUGACAAUGGGGUCCCACUAGGCAAGAGAGAGGUGUAGAAGGAGGAAGUGUUGGACAGGGCUGAACCUAGCCUAAGGCACUGACAAGUGGGGCCAACUCGAUGGAAACUAGGCCAGGGAGAGAGAUAUGGGUAGAAGACUGGUAAACUUGAUUUUUAGAUUAAUUUUCGGAAUUAUUUUCUCCUCUAACUUUGUAACUACAUAAUUCAAUGUGUGGACCAAAUUAAUUAGUGUUGAUUUUACUGGAGGUAAAUGAUUACACCUAGAUUCCAUUUUCUUUGGUUGCACUCAAAAAUAAUGGGUGGACUGCUCACAGAAAUUAAACAAAGAUGGGCUAUUAGAAAGCUAGAUUGAAUUUUUAGGAGGCUUAAACAGAGGAGGAAAAAUCUAGAAAAAUUACAUUUAUUCAUGAUAACUAAUCUAGUAUUUGAAUAAAUUAUUUCCCAUGUUCACUUAUGUGCAGUUAAAUGUACUUUUGGAUGAAAUAUGGUUUUAGCCGAUUAAAUUUAAUUUGUUUUCUUUUAGUUGUCUGCUUCAACCGAUUAAUUUGAGAUAUCAACAUGAGUGUUAACAUGUUACCAAAUUACAGAGGACAAGUUUGUGCUAAUCACUGUCCACAUAAAUUUUUCCAUGAUUUUAUCUUGCACAAAAUAUUUUAGAGAAUUAAGAUGACCUUUGUUUGUAUAUGUGUUCCCACUUCAUAAUUGCAUCUAAUAUUAUUAUAGGGAUUACAUUAAACUUCUUUUAGACUGAGAAGAUGAUAUUUGAGUUUAAUAUUAAGUCCAUAUGUUAUCACCCAAGAUUAACUAUAGGUUUGUUUAGUGAAAUAAUUCUUUUAGAUUAUGCUCAUGGGAUCUAUUAUGGAAUGCAAGACCAAAACUCCAAAUGCACAAAGAACUCGAGCCUAGGCAUGCAUUAUGUACAUGUAUGCUUGAUGACAUUUCUAGUCUAAUGUUGGGAAUGAAAAGGUUUUAUUUUGUUCUCAAAUUUUAAUCAUGCAAUGGUUUAAGUUGAUCAUCACCUAAAUUAAAACGGAAAUUUUUGGCUCUCGAAAUUUGGAGAAGUUAACCUCUAACUAUUUUGACAAGAAAUCUUAAGUCCUAAAAUUUCGGGUAUGUUACACAGGCCGGGGGAGAGGAGGCGGCUGCAACACCGGGGAAGGCGACGGCACGGCCGGCCGGCGCACGGUCGAGGAGGGAGAGGCGGUGGAGGCGCCCGGCGCGGAGGAAAGAGAAGGGCGACGGCGGGGAGGUGGCUAGGGACCACGGGAGAAUGCGGGAGGGGGCUAAAACUGGAGAACGGAUCGAGGGGGUUCCAUUUUAUAGGAGAGGAGAGGGAGCCGGGCACGGGAGAGGGCGGAACGGCGACGGGAAACACGGCCGGCGGCCAUGGAAAGCGGCCGGGGAAGACGCGGGCGUUCCCGGCGAUUGGGGGCACGAUUCAAGGGGGAAAUUGGGGGGAAUUGAAGAGGAUUCAAUGGGGAUUAAAACCCCCGAAUCAAUUUUGGAAUUAGCCAAAUGAAUCAAGCGGAUUUGAGGGAGGAACGGCGCUAGGGUUCACGGGAGAGGGAGGAGGCCGGCUGGGGGAGGAAGACGACGUCCUGGCGCGUGGGCCCCACGCGGGCGCGCGGUCAGCACGUGUGCAACGCACGUGCGCGGGAGGGGAGCGGCUCAGGCAGGGGCGCGGCGUGGGCCGGGCAGCCGGCCCAGGAGGAGAGGAGGGGAGGGGUGGCCCGGGGAGAGAGGGAGGAGGAGGGAGUGGGCCGGGGAAGGAGGGAGGGCGGCCCAAGAGAGAGAGAGAGGGGGAAGGAAAAAGAGAGGGAGGAGGGAAGGACUUCGGCCGCGGGCCGGGGGGAGAGAGGGAGGACUUUGGGCCAGACUUGGCCCAAAGGAGGAAGGAGGAUUAUUUUUAGGUUUUUCUUUUUAAUAAACUUUGAUAAUUGUUUUUGUUGCUUAAUAAUUAUUUUCGGUGCUCUGAAAAUUCAAGUAAAAUUUGAGGGCUCCUUUUAGACCAAAGAGAAUUUAACAAAAAUUCUCCGGGCCACAUUUGAAUUUUUCUUGUACGUAUUUUAGUGUUUGCCAAUUUCUUUUCGAAUUUUAAAUAAAUUCUAUUAUUCCUUUUAGAGAAUGAUUUUUAAUUCGGGAUGAAUUUAUCAGGACGUGACAGCUGGUGCUAUGAGAUAGGUCAUCGGUCUUCGUUGGUAGGUUGGGCGCGACGAUUCUGCAUUUGUCGAGAUCGUUCUCAAUAAUGGGGUGUACUCGACCACAACCUACUCGAGUGCUCAAUUGUUCCUGAAAAAUAUUUUCUAGAAGGCAAGAAAUAUAGCAGAGAAUAUCGAGUAUGUACUCAAAAAACUGCAUAAAUCUUCUAGUAUUAUCAGGAUAUAACGAGCAGAUGUAAAUAUCAGGCAUUACGUGAACCGUAAACAAGCUUGAUUUGUACAAAAUAAAAUAGAGCGAGCCCCCGGCAUUAAACCGUAGUCGGUUUAACAUCAGGGACACUCGCACAACAGAUAUUGUACAAAAAGCAUGCUCUAGGUAAACAUAAUUGAUCUGACAAUAUCUGAAAAUAGGUACGGUAAAUUGUAUAUAAAAUAUUGCGUACCUUUGUAGAUAUAUGCCGGAUAUAUCUACGGAAUAAGUAGAUCAAUUAAAUUAAUUAUUCCACUAAUUACCUUAAUUUUCCUUGGCCGGUCAAUGCACAGACCGUAGCUCUGUACAUACCAAUAUGCAUCCGUAUGCAUAGGCAUGUAUGUGUACAGCGUACAGGGGUGCUGGUCACGGUAGAGUGCAUCCGAUGCAUGCGAGGUGAAGUCGGGAUCUCGUCGGAAGACAUACUCCGGUCGGGUUAGAUCUUCCCACAGCCGAAGUUAUCGAGCAGCUUGUUGUUGGAGAAUCCAUCUCUUAAACCCAUCUCGUCGAAAUCCUGAAGCACCAAAAUCCCCCUACCUGGCGCGCCUCUGUCAACGUUUGAUGUCGCGAUUCCGGUAUUUGCAUAGUAUGGGGAUCGUUGAUACUAGGAUAUACGCGAGACUGAGGUAAAAGAGAUGGGGACGAGGAUUUUUAUACAGGUUCGGGCCUCUGAAUUGUCAGGUAAUAACCCUACAUCCUGUUGGCCGAAGCCGGUAUUACUCUUAUUCACCAUAAUCACACCAGUACAAUAUGUGGGAUAGCCUAUCUAAUUGUUGUCGACAUGGCGGUCUGAAGGUCUGACUCGUAGUCGGCAACAGGGUAGUCUUCUUCCUCGAAUCCGUGCCCGGCAAGAUCAGAGAUAGCGCUUUCGUCUCUCCUGACAGUAUCCGGAGACACCGUAUGGGGUUAGCCGUGCUUAUCCUUGAAGUCGAUAUCCGACGUCUUGUCUUGGCGUAUGUUGGCUUGUAUGUUGUGGCUUCUGUUGUUCCGUGUUGUCCGUGUCCCCUCUCCUCCUAGGGGGCCUUGUAUUUAUAUCCAUAGGUGUCCCCUUGUCCAAAUAGAACUAGGGAAACCAAUAUGGAUAUAGUCCGAGUGGUACUUGUCGUUUCCAUGUAGAACUCUGGUUGUCUUUCCUUAUCCAAAACUCCCUCCAUAUCUGAAGUCAGUUUCCGUAUAAGACAUGGUAUGUGGUGGGUCCUGCCGAGAUAUAGUCGACUACUAUUAGGUAUGUGGUAUCCAUAACCCUGACAGUCGCCCAUGUAACCCUAGCCGCGCGUGCGUGUGUGCUGUGGGGAAGCGGCACGCGGGCGUGUAUUGGUAAAUAACAGUGGCAGAUAAGUCUUCCCUCUCUAAAUUUAUUUUUUUAUUUUCUUCUAAAUCUAUUCCUCACAGUGUGAAUACAAUAGGGCUAGACGGCCACUUCGAUUUUGAAAAAGAGGGUCAAAUGAACAAAGUUAAAAAUAUAGGGUCAAAUUUAUAGUUAGACUUUAAAAUAGAGUGAAAAAAAGCAAUUGUCUCUUUGUCGUUUUCCAUAUAUAUGGUCGCAAACAUUUCAGGGCUAGCCCAGCCUUGGCUGGCCAAUCAAAGUUUCUACAAUUCUCUCUCAGUUCUAUCUUGGUAUAUCAGAUCCUCAUCAUCAAGAGAUAUUUUUCUUAACCAGCAGAAAAAAAUUCGUCCCCAUCUUCGAAUUUGGACGAAAUACAUUGAAAUGCUUUUAAAUUUAGCAUUAAUAAUAUCUUCAAAUCUGUCCAAAAAACAACAUCGGUAGUGUGCACUUAGAAUCAGUGGAGAAUGGACAAGAGGCUAGAAAACAACCCAAUGGUUAGCAUUGAUCAUAAUGAAGUGUCAAGUAUAUAUAUGGAAGUUAGAGUUAUAUCAGAUAUAAUUGAUUUCUAUCAUAGUCUUACUAGUCUUACUUAUUUUUAAUCUUUUCUUAUUUCUACCUAAGCAUAUAUUCUACAUAUACAAUUGCCCUGAGGCCCAAUACAACAAAUCCAAUAUUCACAAUAUAUGUCCUCCCAUUCUAUUCAACACGAACCUGAGCCUCAUAUGUCGACAUGAUAGGGUUGAUGAACAUAUAUACUACUUCCUCCGUUUUAUAAUGUAAGAAUGUUAUAAUGUCGACAUUAUAGCAUUCCCCAUAUUCAUAUUGAUGUUAAUGAAUCUAAAUAGAUAUAUAUGUCUAGAUUCGUUAACAUCAAUAUGAAUGUGAAAAAUGCUAAAAUGACUUACAUUGUGAAACGGAAGGAGUAUUAGACAUGCUUUUUACCCUCUCUAGUGGUCGCCACCCUCCCCAGCCUUUUCCUUUUUUCUUUCUCACUUUUGUAAUCUCUUAGCCUUCACGGCUAUUAUACAGUAUUUUCCUCUCCUUUAAUACAAACACACCAUGCUGGGGUUUAAAAAAAGACAGUGAUAGAGUAUUUUGUUGAACUUAGUCACCCAUAAUUCCAGCUACAUUUAUCAUCAUAGAAGGAACUUUCAUGCAUAUGCUGCCAUAAGUCAAUAAGUCAACGUUUUUAUCGUUUUGUACAAUGGUUCAUCGAUGCUGACACCUGACAUCGAUACCGGCCGGCAACAACAAACUGAUUGCAACUAGAAGGGAAAAUAUUAGAAACAAGAAGCUUUAGCUUUGUUCACCUACCUACUAUACCAUCACGAGCUUUAAUACCGGGUAGCAAACCUUCCCAUAUUUAUAUAUGCGAUUUCAUUCAUAUAAUAUAUACUCCCUCCGUAUUUUAAUGUAUGACGCCGUUGACUUUUUGACAAACGUUUGACCUUUCGUCUUAUUCAAAAAAUUUAUGUAAUUAUAAUUUAUUUUAUUGUGACUUGAUUUAUCAUCAAAUGUUCUCUAAGCAUGACAUACGUAUUUUUAUAUUUGCAUAAAAUUUUUUAAUAAGACGAGUGGUCAAACGUUGGUUAAAAAGUCGACGGCGUUAUAUAUUAAAAUAUGGAGAGAGUAUAAGCCAAUGGAUGCAUGGCUUUGUCAUGUGGAUGAGAUUUAGCUCUCCCUCAUCUCACCUCAGGCCCGUCAACUCGUCUCAGGCUACUAAAUAGUAGUGUAGUACCUUACACGAACUUCACAAAUCUCACAGCCAUCUCCUGUCCUCUUUGUGCAACCGCAUGAGAGCCCAGCAAAUCUCGUACAGUAUAUGGAAUCACCAGGAGUGCGCUGAUCAUCGUCUUCCUCACGAUGGGGGAUGCCAUGGUUAGCUGCACAAAAGGCAUCUCUCCAGUGAGGUGAGCCUCCCUCACGACAUACGUCCACUUGAACAUUUUUUUUGUUCUUGUUUAAAAUUAUGUGUAGCGAUUAUACUUGUGUUCUUGUAUAGCAAUUCUACAAAACUAAAGGUACUAUUUGAUUCAACAAAACCUGCGAACAGUAUCCAAAGGGGGGCAAAAUUGAAGGGGAAAAUAAGGGGUUGUAUGCACGAUGAGUUUUUCUUCUUUUUGCACAAUUUACAAUUGUACGAUGCUUUGGUAUAGUAGGAGAGCCUAGCCGUUCAAAAGCAUCUUGCAUAAACAGAAACUUUUAAACAAACUACCCUUGCUAAGGCUCAUCAGUACGCUGAUCAAAUGUACUCGGUAAGGGAUGCAUGGAUAUUUUCAAGUGGAGCUAAUCAUCAUCUUCACGGUUGCUUUGAGAACCAUAUGACUAAGCCUUAUCAUCAAGUAUACAGACAAUCGACAUGCCUUUUAAGAACUUUUUUUUGGGUCAUGCCUGAUAACUUCUACCUUACGUACUACAUUAUUUGUGUAAGGCACAAUCACAUGGAGUUGGUGGCAUUAUGCUCUCAUGAGAACAUUAAAUUUCAUCAACUUACAUAGUACGGACUAUUUACUUCCAAGUUGUGCUCCUUGCAUCCUUGAUUAAUGGGAACAACUCAGCUCAUGGAAUCUCAAAGUAAAUGGAUCACAUUGCCAACUAAUAUUAGCAAUAUAUUACUCCUACAUCUCAUGUCUUGUCCUGUUCAAUACACCUAGGCACUUGACAAUUGGUGACAGUUGCAGUUUUCCAUGUUGCUAAUUACUCCCUUAGAGGGGUACAUCAGAGUCAACACAAUGGAAGGGGAAAAACUAAAAAAGCAUCGGCGACUUUGUAGACUUGUAUGCAGUCUUCAUACUUUAUAAUGUCUCAUUGUACGUUCUUGAUGUGAUGCAAGACCGGUUUCUCUCUAGUGUCCAGCCAUCCCUCUGCUUAAUACAGAGUUCAUCUCUCUUAACAUUGAAAAAAAAUAGAGUUCUUCUCUCUUCCUAGCUCUUCUCUUGAUUUGUCCAUGUUGACCAUGUCGCCGAAGAUCCAUGAUCAACGUGGCCAUUUCUGUUCUUAUUGAAGUUUUUUUACUGAAGAGAUCUUGUUGUUGGGAGUUGGGACUUGGGAGGGACCAAUUUUUCUGAACAUAUAGCACUCUCCUUCAGUCCUUCUGCAGCACUCUGACCAAUGGCAUGAUAAUUUGUAUCCAUAUUUCCGGUUAUUUCUCUUAUUCUCUGGUUCAUAUGGCGUAACCUUAAUUUCUUCUUUUCCAUUGAUGUGUUUUACUUCUAACCAUUGGUUGCACCAGCUUUCUAUUAAUGAACUUGCAAUUCACCUGUUCUUUUAUUUUUCUUCUCUUUGCAGGUGAUCUCAGGUUUUAUCUUGGUGGUUUCCUGCUGAACCUUCUGCUAUCGAUCCAUCGAAAAAUCUAGUGAGUUGAUAGUUGCAGGAAACUGAUGCUAUCAAUCCGUUGAAAAAUCAAAUGGGUCGAUAGUUGCAGGAAACUGAUUUUGCAAGACUAUAGCUAAUUCUUACCGUCGGCAUAGGAUUAAUGCCGGAAAUAGGUCUGUAAUGAAAGGUAAUGCUUCUUCACAUCUUGGAAUGUUGAAUGAUUUUAGUAAAGUGAAAGAUUCUUUCUCUAGCUACUGUUUUGUGUGAUCCCGACUGUGCUUUCUGAGCAAUUUUAUGGUCCUUGAGGAGGUACCAUGAAGUACCAUUUUUUCUAUUAUAAAUUUUGGUACCUCAUAGUACCUUUACACUAAAAUUUUGGUACCUUAUGGUACCUGCUCAAGGACCGUAGAAUUGCUCGUGCUUUCUGGGUAGCAGCAACUACAGUUGAACUAUUAACAUAUUUUUCACUUUUUGCACUUCAAUUAAGCAGUGUCUCAAGUUAUCUAAACAUAUUAUACUUUUUCUACAAUCAAAAUUUGGUGAAAUUGUGGUGAUUGGAUUAUUAUCGUUAGGUAGAUACAAUCAUAGUUUGAAUUCCAUAAUCUUUUUCUCAUGUUUUCUAAACAAACAAACAAACAAACAAACGGUUUAAUUUGCUGUCCUAAUAUAUAUGAGAGUUUUUACGCUCCAGGUACUGGUACUGCUAGGUACCAAAUAAAAUCCAACCAUUGAAUCAAAAGGGGCAUGAUGGGAAAAAAGAAUCGAUUUGCCGAGCGCCCCUGCUUCUGAACUGCUUGUUGACUCGCCAUCGUCCUCGAUUCUUCGCUGGCACGCCGCCGCGUGAGUGUUCUUCGACGGCAUCUUCUCUGACGCCAUUCCUUGCCGCCAGCGCCACCUGUGUGUUCUUCCGCGGUACCACUACUAGUGCCACGACCUUUAUUCAGCUGGUGCCCGGUGGCUGUGUUGUUAUUUCUCGAUCCGUCGCCGCCGGCGAUUAACUGCUCGUUGCUCUACGCGAUGCCGAUUAGUAUGGACGGAGGAGGCCAUAAAUCUUGUGAUAAUGAGAGGAUACCGUGAUUGAAAGGAGUGAGAGGAAAAAUCAGUGCGGAUGGUUCCGCCAUGGACUGAGUAGAGAAAAGAAAAAGGAAAGAAAGAAGGAUGAGAAAAAAAAGGCAGAUGGUUCCGCCAUGGACUAAGUUGAAGAAAAAAAUAAGAGAAGAAAAGAAGGAUGAGAGGAAAAAUCAAGGUAGAAUGGUAGAUGGUUCCAUCAUGGAUGAGUCGAGAAGAAAAAAAAGCAAAGAAAAAAAGACAGAUGGUUCCACUUCCGGCAUGGACGAGUAAGUGCCGUGCCGUGCGGCGAGGAUGCCGGUGACGGGUCGAAUUCCUGUUGUCGAGUCGAGGUGGGGAGAUGAGGCUGUUUGUUCCUCCUCGCUGCAAUGGAUGGGAGAAGAAAAGGGGAAGGAGCAGUGGAGCACGGUCCGGCGAGCGCAUUGAAUCAGGAUUCUAGCGAGAGGUGCACAGCUUUGAGGCUAAACACGAAAUUAUGGUUUUACCCUUCGGAUGGUUAGUACCGGGAGGGGUGAGCGCUUGUACCGCUAGGUACUGGAUGCUUGACAGCCGUCCGAUCAUCCUGGAUCGAUGGACCAAAUUUGGUACCGCUUCCCCGCUGGACGGUAAAAAGUCUCGGUCCAACAAAAAGUACCUCGAGGUAUAGUACCGGUACCUCACGGUACCAAAUCGUUUUCGAUCGUUGGAUUUAACAAUACUCAUCCUGCUCAGCUAGAUCCAAUGAUCAUAAACGUUUUGGUACCGUGAGGUACCGGUACCUCGAGGUACUUUUUGUUAGAUCGGAGUAAAUCUCGUAGAAAGGAGGAAGUGAGAGAAAUAGAGAUGGACGACUUGCUGUGAUACCGGUAUUUUCUUGCUGCUGCUUUAAUUUGUUGUAUGCAAAUUUGGUGAUUCAUGUGGAUUCGCCAAUUUAGUCACAAACAUGUGAUUCACGGCACAAGGAAAAAUACCGUUAGUAGAGGUACCAGUGACCAAGUUUGGUUUAGGGUUUCGGGUUCAGCCAUUCUAGCUCUACAUCUAUAUAAUGUGCAUACACUUCACCUUUCUUUUCUUUCCUCCCUUUGUUGCAGUUGUAGAAGCGUGGUCUAUGGUUUCCUCUUGCUGCUGGACUCAUAAUCUUCUGCUGUAUAUAUAUUCUGUACUUUGGCUCAUUCAAUCAAUUGUGUUUGGUCUUCACUAAUCUCACUCAAUUGAGAUUUGAAGUGGAUGUGUUGGUCAUGCAAACUGGUUACGAGAUGAUGGCUAGCAACUAUUUUUCGAGAUGAAGAGGGAAUUUUGUUAAUAAUUCAGAAUAAGAGUACAUUCUUCAGGAACUAUUUGCUCUAUAGAAUAAAAAAGGAAAUCAACAUAUCAAUAUCAACGGCAGAACGUUUUAAACAUUAUGCCAAUUGUGCAACCUCAUGAGCAAUGAAUUAUGUUUUCCUCAUCAUGAUCCGGCAGGACAAUUAAACCAGGUAAUUGUUCAUCAAAGUCGAUGAGGCAAACUAAGUAACUUUGCAAUGUUUGAGCAAUCAAACACUAAUAUUAUAGGUUGCUUGAUCCAAUCAACAGGAAGAGCUGAAUUAUUGGUUGCCUUGUCUACACGUUGGCCAUUCAACCUGUAUAUGAGGCCUGCAAAAUUAUUAUUACUAUACUUUUUUUUUCUGCUGAAUGAAAACAGUCAGUAAGGUAAAUUUUGCUUGCACACUUCAAAUAUCGUAUUCUUUUCUCUUCAUGAUCUUUUGAGACUUCCUUUCAAACACAUGAGUUUUACAAUAUUUUCAAAGAAAUUAGUUCUAUUACCACAGUUCAUGUGUUCCAAAAGGAGGCUUUACGGGAUGAAACUAGUAGGGAGGUGUUUCUACAUGACGUUAAUUACCACAAUGCGAAGUCCUGUCACGACUUGUAGAAAUGUUUUUUAUGAUACUCGAAGAUUGUCUAGACUAGUCAUUUCACACUGAUCCAACAGUUGGCAUUUUUUGAAUCAUAUUACGUCCUAUGCAAAUACUCACUACAUUUCUAAAUAUUUGACACCAUUGACUUUUUAGCACAUGUUUAACCGUUCGUCUUAUUAAAAAACUUUUGUGAAAUAUAUAAAACUAUAUGUAUACAUAUUAGUAUAUCUAACAAUGAAUCAAAUGAUAGGAAAAGAAUUAAUAAUUACUUAAAUUUUUUGAAUAAAACGAAUGAUCAAACAUAUUUAAAAAAGUCAACUGCGUCAAAUAUUUAGAAACGGAGGGAGUAGGUCUUAAAAGGAGGCAUUACAUUUCAAACUUGCUAUUGUAAGCAUGGCGACCCAAAAGACAACUAUAAUUUUUGAAAUAACGUUAUUUGGCACAUUUUGAAAUUUUAAUUACAAAAUACAACUGUAAUUUUCACAAAAUAUGCCAAUUCUGUUAACAUCACUUGGCAAAUUUUGUGAACCUUCUCUAAUUUUUCACUAUGUUAACAGAAUUGGAAUUAUUGCCAGCCUGCCUUUUUUUACAUUCAUCUGGUAUUUUGGCCUUGGUGGAUCUCCCCGUUUGUGUUUGCCUGAUGGCGGCGGUAUUAGAUGCUUUGAUUGUCUCAUGCAUCAAGAAGUUGCAGGAUAUCAUUACAGACAAUGCAAUACUCGUGCUAGGAGUAGAAGAAGAGCUCAGUGAACUGGUGAGAAAAACAGAUUACAUACGAUGUUCUCUUAAUGACGCUGAGACAACGAGGUUGGAUCAUGAAGCAGUUAAUAAUUGGCUUGGACAACUAAGAGAUGUUAUGUAUGAUGUCGAUGAUAUUAUUGAUUUGGCUAGAUUUAAAGGAAGCAUCCUACUAGCUGACCAUCCUUCAUCAUCAUCAAGCAAACCAACACGUUGCAAUUGCCCUUCGUGUCAUUGUAAUAUUUGGACACGUCAUGAGGUUGCUGUUAAGAUUAGAAGCCUGAACAAAAAGAUAGCGAACAUUUCAAAUGAUGAACUACUUCAAGAUCUCAGACGUAGACCGCAUCCGAGAAAUGGUUCGAUAUGGACACCGAUAAAAACCUCCAGCAUAGUUGAACCCAACCUUGUGGGUGAAGAGGUCAUACUUGCUUGCAGAGAAUUGGUGGAUUUGGUUAUUGAAAAUAAGGAAAAGAAAGAUUACAAGCUUGGUAUUGUAGGGACAGGAGGAGUUGGCAAGACAACACUUGCUCAGCAAAUAUAUAAUGAUGAAAAAAUAACAGGGAAUUUCGAUAAACAUGCAUGGGUUUGUGUUUCAACAGACAGCACACAAACUUCUCUAUUGGAAGAAGUUCUUCGGAUCAUGAAAAUUCGAUAUGGGAAAGCAAAAUCAGUUGAAGAGCUCCAAAACAAGCUCAAAUCAGCCAUUAAAGAGAAGAGUUUUUUCCUUGUGCUAGAUGAUGUAUGGGAAUCUAAUGCGUGGACUAAUUCACUUCAAAAACCAUUGCAUGCUGCAGCCAAGGGGAUAGUUAUAGUAACUACGAGAAAUGAAAAAGUAGCUCAGGAAAUUAAAGUGGACCAUACCCAUCAAGUUCAUUUGAUGUCAGAAAAUGUAGGAUGGGAUCUACUUUGGAAGAGCAUGGGCAUAACCGAAGAGAAACAAGUUCAUCAUCUGCGGGACAUAGGGAUUGAGAUUGUUCACCAAUGUGGUUAUCUCCCACUAGCAAUAAAGAUCAUCGCCAAAGUUUUAAUUAGCAAAGAGAAAACAAAUGAUGAAUGGAAAAGGAUAUUGAGCAACAAUUCGUGGUCCAUGAAUAAUCUUCCUGAUGAACUAAGAGCUUUAUAUCUGAGUUACAGUGAGCUAUCACACCAACUGAAACAAUGUUUUCUUUAUUGUGCUAUAUAUCCUGAACAUUCAACCAUUAACCGUGAUGAUCUUACUAGUAUGUGGGUGGCUGAAGGCUUCAUUGAUGAGCAGAAAGACCAACUACUAGAAGAUACAGCAGUAGAAUACUACAAUGAGCUGAUCCAUUGGAACCUCCUUCAACUAGACCUUUCAUAUUUUGACCUAGGUGGGUGCAAGAUGCAUGGUCUCUUAAGGCAGCUUGUUUGCUAUUUAUCAAGAGAAGAAUGUUUUGUUGGAGAUCCAGAAUCACAAAAUGGUAAUACAAUGAGUAAAAUGCGACGUGUUUCUGUGGUGACAGAGAAGGACACGGUGGUGUUACCAAGUAUGGAUAAGAAGCAGUAUAAAGUGAGGACUUACAGAACUUCAUAUUCCAAGUCACUGAGAGUUUACAAUCCACUUUUCAAGAGGCUUACAUAUCUCCGUGUUUUGGAUUUGACUGGCACACUUGUACAGAGCAUCCCAAGUCACAUUGGAAAUUUGAUUCAUAUGCGUUUGAUUAAUCUUGAUGGGACAAACAUAUCUUGUCUCCCAGAGUCCGUUGGUAACCUUCAAAAUCUUCAAGUACUGAACCUGCAAAGGUGUAAAUCUUUGUACAGGCUUCCUUUGGCAACCACGAAACUAUGCAAUUUAAGGCGGCUUGGUCUUCUUGAUACACCAAUAAAUAAGGUUCCAAAAGGGAUAGGAAGACUGCAAUUCCUUAAUGAUUUGGAAGGAUUUCCUAUUGGAAGUGUAACUUAUAAUAAAAAAAUGCAAGAUGGAUGGAAUUUGGAAGACUUGGCUGAUCUUUCACAGUUGAGGCGGCUUGUUAUGGUAAAACUAGAAAGAUGUACUCCUUGCAGCAGUGAAGAUUCAUUUCUCCUAACAAACAAAGAACAUCUGAAAGUUCUAUAUCUAGAAUGCACUGAACCAACAAAUGAAGCAUGUUCAGAUGAACAUGUUAAACAUGUUGAGAAUAUCUUUGAGCAGCUAGUCCCUCCACAGAACUUGAAAGAUCUAUCUAUUCUGAGAUUCCUUGGUCAGAACUUACCCUCCUAGCUUUGUAAUGUCUAUCUGCCUUCACUGAAAUAUUUGAUCCUCUCUGAUUGCAAAUAUUGCAUACAUCUUCCACCAAUAUGGCAGCUACCCAACUUGGAACGCCUGAAAAUUGUGAAAGCAACUGCAAUUACCAAGAUUGGACCCGAAUUUAUUGGGCAAUUUCCAAGAUCCAGGGAAGCAGUUGCUUUCCCCAAGCUUGAAUGGUUGAUCAUCAAUGAUAUGCCCAACUGGGAGGAAUGGGCCUUUAUUGAAGAAGAUGAGAUAUCACUUGCAGCAAUGAACGAAGGAGGAGGGGAUGGAACUGCUGUGGCCGAAGAGGAGGAGAUAUCACUUGCAGCAAUGAAUGAAGGAGGAGAGGAUGGAACCACUGUGACGGAAAAGGGGGAAGCCUCAUUUCCAAGGUUGUGUGUGCUGCCCUCUUUGAAGAGGUUGGACAUUGAUAACUGCCCCAAGCUGAGGGCUCUCCCACAACAGCUUGGACACGAGGCCACCAGUUUGAAAGAGCUCUCCCUUGUAGCAGCAAGCUGCUUGAAGUCGGUGAAGGACCUUCCAUCCCUAUCUGGUUUCCUUUCUGUUUGUAGAUGUGAAGGCCUGGAGAGGGUUACAGAACUUCCCAAAGUGAGAAAGCUGUUUGUAAGUGUUUGUCCAAAUUUGAGCUGUGUUGAGGAGUUAGGCAGUUUGGAGCAGCUAUGGUUGGAUGUGAAUAUGGAGGACUCAUCACCGUGGGUGCAUGGGCUUCGAGAGCAGUACCGCCACCUGGAUGUCUACACGUGGCCUAGAGAGUGAGAUGUGAAGACCCAACUAAAAGACAGUAGAUUAGUAGAGACACAAGGUAAGGGCAUUGGCUCUGUAUUUGUUGAUACAUAUUUUUAUUCUAUCGUUAUCUAAAAUAGUGGAAACAUAUUUUAAUUUCAUUCCAACUUUGCAUAUUUUCAGCCAAAAUCAUGCAUGUCUAAUGUUAUUCUCACCUGUACACUUUACAUUCAUUGAUGUUGUACACUUUGCAUCAUUCUUAGUAAGGAGAUCAUCAUAUAUAUUAGACAAAAUGUCAAACUUUCGGUAGUUGUUAUGAUUAAUAUUUGUACCUAUAUUACUGACCUUGUCACCUAAAACUAGUACAGAAAUCCUUAAAACUUUGUGUUGUAAUUAUUCUCAAUGUCCAUAACCAGUACAGAAACAAGUGUUAUAGCAUUUUAUAAUCUAUUAUAUCCUAAAGUACAUUAAACCUCCUACAAACGCUUCUAAGCCAUCACGUAGCACUCCUACGAACACUCCUAAGCCUCCACAUGACAUUCUAAUAAAUUAAAGAAAUUUCUAAAAAUUCCGAGAAAAACAAAAACAUCUUGUCAUUUAUCUUUAUUAAAUCUGGUGAACCCAUCAUUUACAACCAUUAGAUCUAGUCGUCAACCCGUGCGUUGUAUGGGUUAUUAAAAUAUUUAAGAAAUUCAAUUGUACAUGUGGUUGAAUACAUGGGUUAAAAUGAUUAUUUUGCUUAAAAAAAUGUUGGAAUGGCGGCAUUCGGGCAUCCGGUCUCUUGUACUUUACCAUGAUUUGACUUGGAAAACAGUGAGGGAAGUCUCCACGGUUCGGAUAUAAUGAUGAUUAAUCCAAAACUAAUUAAUUAAUUCAAUUAAAAAUACUCAACUACAGUACCAUGACUAUAGCUGGCCAAAUGGGUGGCCCGGCCCAACACGCACGGCCCCACUAGUGGCACGACCCACUAAGGCACGGCAACUGUAGCAGGCCGUGCACGUGGCCCAUAAAAAAUUGAAAAUUGAGGGAAAAAUAAUAUGAAGUUAAAAAAUGAAUGAAGACAGGACAAACGUGAGGAAAAUUUAGGAAAUAUACGAAAUAUAUUAGAAAAUAUAUGGUAAAAAUAGGAUAAAAUAUGAAAAAAAAUAAAAAAAUAUGAGAAAAAUAUGGGAAAAAUUAGAAAAUUGUAGGGAAAAUAAAUGGGCAGCUGGGCCGUGCUCGUGCCGACCCGUCAACAGGCAUGCCGUGCCGUGUAAGCCCAUGGGCUAAGGUGCUGGCCCAAGCACGACACGGACAAAUGGGCCAUGCCGGCACAGCACACAGUCCGCCCAACAUCUGUUCCUAGUGUAGGGCUCCUAAUUAAUUAAGGUUUGUUUGGUGAAACAAAAAAGCCACCUAAAUGUCUUUGUAUUGGUUCAAAUUGAUUAAUAGUUUUGUUCGUGUUCUACCUGUUAAAAGAAGAAGAGGAUAUUGCUGAUCGGCAUGCCUAUGUAUAGUCCAUGUGUGUCUUUUCCUUAUGCCUUUUGUAAUGCACGUGUAUUGUUUGGUAAGUUCAAUUCCAGAAAAUAUGAUUGUUGAAAAACUGAUAGCACAUAUAUUUUCUUUUCCUUAAUUAAGUUAUUAAAUUACCAAAAUACUUAUGUAUAUAUACAUCCAUGAUUAAUUUCUGUGUGCUUAUUUAUUUUGUAGGUUGUUAAUCUUGAAGAAUUUGGGCUGUGCAGUCACUUGUAAUAUGUAUUUUUGUUUUACCUAGUUAUUGGUCUUUGAAAUAUUAAAAAAAUUUUAUUUUUUUAAAAAAUAAAUAAAACAAAAAUAUCAAGAAAGGGAAAAUGUCAAAAAAAUAAAAAAUAUAUUUUCUUUAGCUCUUGUAAAAUAUAUUGUCAUGUUUCGUUAGAUUUUGCGUGUGUGUUUCUUUUCUUUUUAUUUUUUUUUGUAGGUGUGUAGGUAACUCCGCCUAUGUCAUCGUAGGUAUAACUAAAUGACAUAGCCGGUCCCCAGCCCGGAAAAAGGAGGAGGGGAUAGUUUGGUAUAGAUGUGUGUUGAAAUGAUGCUCCGUUGCUAGAUCAUUGGGAAUUUUCUGCACUUUUAUUAGAUUAAUUUCAUUUUCAGUGAUGGAAUAAUUGUGGAAACAUUUCUGGAGACUCAUCCACCCUUAUUGCUCUGUUGGACAAAUCUGAUUCUGAACUAUUUAAGCUAGCUUGACCAGACCACCAGGUCUAAGAGCUGCGAAUUGACAAGUAGGUGAAGGAAAUUCAGUGCCGACCAUGACCUGAUGAGGAGCAAAAAUUUUUUUCAAGUCUUGGAGCCCAAAUGUGCCUGAAGUCCUGAACAACAAGAUACAAUUUUGCUGCAGGAUCAAACAAUUUUGCUCCUCUCAUUUGUUUCUUGUCUUUACCUAGUUGCUGGUCUUUGGAAGAUUACAAAAACUGAAAAAAAAAAGAGUGAAAAGAACACGAAAAUUACAAAAAAAAAGUCAAAAAAGGGAUACAGAUCCAAAAAUGAAAAAAAAAACGUGUUUUUGUUUUUUGUCUUGCACGUGUGUAGGUAGCUCCUCCUAUGCCAUCUUGGGUGUGCAUCUUUAAUGGCAUUGCUAGUUCCAAGCCCGAAAAAGAGAAAAUUGCAUAUGUACCAUCGCGUAAAAUUGGCUUCGUAAAAAUACCAUCACUUAAAUGGGCUUCGCUAGAAUAACAUCCUGAACUGAGUACACUUCGCCACUUUACCAUUUUCAUCAUUUCUUCCAUUUUAAAUUUAUUUUAUCAUCUUUGCAUCUCUUUUUGGACUGAAAUACCCCUAAGUCAUCAACGCUGAAGCACUUCUGGUCCCAAGCCCGGAAAAGGAGCAGGGGGUAAUAGUGUAUAGACAUUAAGUGAAACAAUGCGCUGCUGCUAUCUAGAGCAGUGAAAGUUCUCUUGAAAAUUUCUGCACUCUUGUCAAGUUAAUUGCAUUUUUAUUGAUGGAAUAGUUUACUGAAAAACACUUCUAGACACUCAUCCACUCUGGUGCUCUAUUGGGCAAUUCUGUUUCUAAACUAUUUUAGCUUGACCUCAUUGCAAACCAGUUUUCAUGUGAAAGCAAUGGAGGCGAACACAUUCACCAGUUCGUCCUCCUCUCAUUCCCUGCAUCCUGUUUGAGAAUUGAGAAUUGUGAACACUGCGGUGUGGAGGCUGCGGUUCGUCAGAAGUUUAAAUUCCUAGAUCCAGUUUCAGAUACUUAGCAGCAUUUCACCUGAUGGCAUUUGAUCGUAAUGUUCAGAGAAUGUUAUCUCCUAAUGCUUUGGAGUUCACUCCCCAAAUUUUCAACACUGUCAUGGACUCUGAAAUUAGAAUCCAGCUGUGUUGCGUUCAUUACUGUAAGAGCUCUUUUUUUUUUUAAACCUAAGCCAGCAUUGCUGGUUUUAUAUUAAGAGAGGGAGAAACUGUACAGACAAGAGACAUCGGGCCCGAAACCCAUACAGCUGCAUGGUUAAUUAUGGGGAACCGACAUCACAGAGGAAAACAUGGGACCUAACUACACUACUAACAACAACGGCGGAGCCCAAACGCAAGACAUCAUUGCCAAGCUAAACACAAAAGUGGCACAACAGCUCCGACAUCAUAGAAGAGGUGUUAUCGUUGCCGAGCUAGCCGGCCAAGCAACCCAGCAGCGCCGACUUCACCACUGCAGCGACAUUGAAGCCACGGAAGUUGCCAAAGCGAAAGCAGCUCCGACAUCCACAAUGGACAUCAGCCAAGCCAUGAAAGAGCCACUUCCUUCACAUGGCCAGCACCAACUCUUUGGAAGAGACCGCAACACGUCAUCGUUGUCAAGCGUCGCCGCACCCCAGCAGCGAGCAGCUCCGACUUCCUCCGUAGAAACAACCGAAGAGUGUGUCGCCCACCACAAGAGCGAAGCGAACCCAAGAGGCUUAGGCCUCGCCAAGCACCAAGGAAAGAAAGCUUUUGAACCGAAGAGACCCUCAAUAGUCAUCGAUGUAAAGGAACUUCCCCGAAGCGACGCCCCCAAGGAGGACACGACGCGUAACGCCGCCGCCGCUCGUCCGAAGCCGGAGCAAGGUUUUCACUUGGAGAUUUGUGGGGCAAAUGGGAGAGCACAUUGACAACGCCUUCAAGAAGGGAAAUGGCGCCAAUGGGUGCGUCGUCGUCAUCGAGCCGGCCAAAGGUACAGCAAGGCUUUCGCCAGCGUCUGCACAUUACCCACACAAGCACCCCCACAUCGACGACCAAACGAUAGUCCAAGAUGACUCACAAGCAUUCCACCCUCGACGCAUCCUACCAUCGCCCACACUCCUCUGCUGCACCGACCAGAACCGGCCAAGGCGGCCAAGGUACUGGUCGUCGAAGCUCCCCGCUGCCAUCGCCUCCACGAGCACCCACUCCCCGCUAUGCCGCUGCCACCGUCGCCACAAGCGCCCGCAGCCCCGCUGCACCUCGUCAAGACGCCAGUGGGCGUAGCUGGAGGUUGCCACUGCGCCGACAAGGGCCUCGCAUCCGCCUCCUCGCAGCACCAGACCCCCGCCGUCGCCGGCCUCCCACUGCCGCUCUGGCGAGGGCACACUGGUCCCCACCUUGGCAGCACGCCAUCAUCCAGCCAGGAGGGUGGUGGAUCUGGCCAAGGGCCACCGGAUCCGACCGCCCCCAUCGCCGGGCCGAGGGCCACCGCCGCCUCGCGGCUGCCUCGCCGUCGUCUCGCGGCUGCCUCGCCGUCGUCUCGCGGCCACCCCACCGCCGUCUCGCGUGGCCCCCCAUCACCGGCCGAGGGCCUCGCCAGCCGGGGCCCGCGUCCUCCCUCGUGCCGCUCGAUGCCCCUCUCCACCUCCGUCGCGACGCUAGCCCGCUGGCCGAAACCGUGGGUGAGGGGGCCAGAUCCGGCCACGGAGGCGCCGGAUCCGCCGCCCCAAACCGAUCGGCCGUCUCACCUUCGGCUGCGCCGUCGUCGGCCUUCUCCGUCCUCCUCACGCAGAGGACGGUUCCACCGAGCUGUACGUUUGGGCCUUGCCGCCGCCUUCCCGGCUCACCACUGGCUUUGCCGCCGGCGAGCUUCGGCGGCGGCGAGGUGGAGGAGGGGGAUGAGGGUGUGGCGGCACGGGUGGCUAGGGUUUCGCCCCCGAGCCGCCCGCGUGAGAGCGACGCGGGGGACGCGUCCUCCUUUCAUCUUCCUGUAAGAGCUCUUCAGUCAUUCAGUUUAGUGCACAGACUUUUUAGGGCCCCUUUGAAUCGCAGGAUUGAGAAAACAUAGGAAUAGGAAAAACGUAAGAUUUUGAUAGGAAUGUAAGUGUAAAACAGAAGAUUGCAAAACGCAGGAAAAACACAGGAAUGACCGUUUGAUUGAAUCGCAGGAAAAACACAGGAAUUAGAUGAGAGAGAUAGACUCGUAGGAAAGUUACCAAGAGGUUGAAGCUCUUGCUAAAUUUCCUCCAAAAUCUCUUUAGGAUUGUCCAUAGGAAUUUCAAAGGAUUGUAUAUGAUUCAAUCCUUUGUUUCGAAGGGCUUCAUAGGAAAUUUUCCUAUAGGAUUGAAAUCCUCCAAAAUUCCUAUGUUUUUCCUCCAAUUCAAAGAGGCGCUUAGUGUCAUCGCAACAAGUUCAUCUAACAGGUACAAAAUUGUCUUCCCCUGGAUGACAAAAUGCAGCAGAAAGCAAAGCAAAACUGAAUUGCAUUCAGCGACGGGAAAAGAAAGGGAGGAGUGAGAGGUGUCGCUUACAUUCUCUGGUCUCCGGCACGAACGCCGAGGUGGGGGCUCGCUCGACGGCCGCGCGCGCUAGGAGCUCGAGGAUGACCUCAUUGGCUCGUCGGAUCGCCCGCUCGCAGCAACGCCCGGUUCCCUUCUCCCCAUCGCCUCUCGCUGAAGCUCCUGCCGUCGCCGGGUCGCCGUCGCUCGCAACGACAACAAUACGAGAUAACUCGAGGGCCUAUACGAAAAUAAACCCCCAGUUCACACUUCACAGGCGUGUUUAAAUCUCAGCCGCCUAUAUCAGAUCGAACGGUGCAGAGAGGCUGAGGUUUUGGAUCGCUCGAACGAAGAGAUUUUUUUUUUGACGCAAAAGGUAGAGACUACCUUAUAACCAUUGCAUUAAUGGUGGUCAAAUCAGAUAAAAUCUGGUAAAGCCGAACAAGAGAACAGAGGGGGGAGAAGAAGGAAAAAACAGAAAGAAAAGACAUGAGAAAAAACAGAGGUACAAGGGAGAAAAACAGGAAGAAAGAAAAAAAAAUACAAGAGAUACAUAGAUACAAAAGGGGAGACAAGAUGGUUAAGCGAAUUUGACCACCCAAGCAGUAAUGUGUGCUCGAAGGCAAGGCUUGAGGCAACGAAGAGAUUUUGGUCGAUAGUAGUUGAGUUCAUGUUCCUUUGUUGGUCUGUAGCGCUCAGUGAUUCACAUCAUCUCAAGACAUGAAUCAACCUAUUUUUUUUAGAUAAUGGAUAAAAUCCGGCCUCUAUAUCCAAAGGAAUCAACCUAUUUCUGUUUGGGAGAAUGUUAGAACAAUGCUUCCCGUUGAAGUCGCAAUCCAACUAGAAAUGCUUUUUAUAUGCAGCUUGUAGAUAGAUGUGCAGACAAGAUUCAGUUCAGCACUUCAGCCAAACUGUAUUCAGACAAGAUUCUAUUAUCAAAAGACACAACAGUAGUCCCCACAUGUGACAUGUGGACCAAAAGGAGUGAAGUAGUAUAUUGUAGGAGUAUUUCAAAAACUCCCCUGUAGCCUCCCCACUUGGGUCUAAUUUUAUUUUACAGGAACCGUAAGCAAACCCUAGGAUUUUGCUUAUACAAGGUUUACCUAACUAUACCAUUGAUGAUAGAGACACUUACAUUCUUGCCCUUUCCUAACCCGCCCUGCUCCUUCACACUGCGGAGGCAAACUUUUUUUGAAUGACUCGCACGAGAUUACAAGAUUACAACCCUGGAGGGUCGUAACCAGGAAAAAGAAAAAAAACCCCACCCACACACCGACAUCGCCAACACACAAGCCCAGGAGAAGGCUAGCACCGGACCGGCCGCCGCUAAGUAUGACCGACCGCCACUAGGCCGACAAAGGGACACUGACGAGAUCGCCCCAUAGGGGUGCCAAAACGAUGUCUUCAAGAAGAGAAGUGACGGAAAAGCCGCUGCCGCCGUCCGUCGGGACUCGAAGGAGCCAAGACUAGGCUUUCGCCCGGCAAUUACCCUUGGGGGAUGAAACAACACGACAACACCCUCAGGAGGGAGAACCUCGUUGUUGGUUCGACCAAGGCCGGACUGAGUUUUCACCCGCCGCUCACCACCUGCAAAUCCACGGCUGACGCACUGAUGCCCCACCACCAUACAAGCUCUGCCGACCUGUGGGACCCCUGCACUGGUGUCCCCAGUCGGCUAGCCUUCGAGCGCCGAAGAUCGCGCCACACCCACCAGCAGAUUCUCCUCACACCUAGGUCGCCUCCUCCACCGUCAGCCGCGCCUCUCGCGCCAAGCCGGCCUCCUCCACCGGACACGCCUCUCGCGCCAAUCCGGCCUCCCUCCAUCGGACGCGCCUCUCGCGCCAAUCCGGCCUCCCUCCAUCGGCCGCGCUUCUCGUGCCAAGCCGGUCACCGACCCCUCUACCAAACGAUGUCGCGCCGGCCAAAUGUAGCCAUCUCCCACGCCCUCGUCUUGCCGUCCGAGGCCGCCAUGCCUCCGGUGACCGUAGUCAUGGCCACCACCACCACAGCCACUGCUGUUGAACGCAAAGCCACCUCACCGUCCUCAUCCUCACCUCGCACCUCCACUUGCUGCCGCCAGUGACCCGCAUCCGCCGACAUCGCCAGCGCCUCCACAGGCUAUCGCAGAAGAUCCCGCCGCCGCCGGGUCACCGUCGAUCAUGACGACAACAAUACGAGAUAACUCGAGGGCCUAUAUGAAAAUAAACCCUCGAUUCACAGUCACAGGCAUGCUUAAAUCUAAGCCACCUGUAUAAGAUCGAGCGGUGCAGAGAGGCUGAGGUUUUGGAUCGCUGGAACGAAGAGAUUUUGGUUGAUAGCAGUUGAGUUCGUGUUCCUUUGUUGGUCUGUACUCUGUAGAGUUCAGUGAUUCACAUCAUCUCAAGACCUGAAUCAACCUAUACUAUCUCUGUUUGGGAGAAUGUUAGAUCAAUGCUUCCCGUUGAAGUCGCAAUCCAUAUGCUUUCUAAAUGGUAAAUGCAAGUAGCUUGUAGAUAGAUGUGCAGACAAGAUUCAGUUCAGCACUUCAGCCAAACUGUAUCUGUUGGACAAAUCUGAUUCUAUUAUCAAAAGAUACAACAGUACUCCCCACAUAUGGACCAAACACAGUGAAGUAGUUUCCCAGUAAAAUCAAUUGGGAUAGACACAUGCACCAGUUCAUCCCCCUCUCAGUCCUUGCAUCCUGCUGUUUGAGAGUUGAGAAUUGAGACACAAGUUAGGCAAAGGAAAUCAUUCACUGUUUGUUAGCAGUACGUACAAAGUUUGGCCAGAUACACAAAAACGCAUGAAAACAAGUAUACUUGUAAACAAUUACUCCUGUAAACUCCAAUAUUUGAUGAGAAAUAUUUCUGUAUGUUUACUCGUGAAACCUGUCCAUUGGAUUCAACGCUAAAAGUUUUGAUCCCAAGUAUGCAACAGGACUGGAAAUAAGCCCCGAAUUCUCAUAGAAACCUCUGCCGUUGUCUCUGUCAACCAGCUCUUUCACAAUGCAAAUGCAUGCCUAAGCAGAGAACUGGUUGGCGUCAGGAAGGCCAAGUGAGAUUCUGUUCUCCAGACACUUGGAGAUACUACAAAGAUUUGAUCUUUCUCAUCUUUUAAUCGCCUUCUUGAGAGAGAUCAUCUCAGUUGCCUGCAGCUUCUAGAAAAAAAAAACAGGUACAAUUCAGCGAGGAGAGGGAAGGUCAGCAAGAAGCAGAUAGGACACAGCCAUGUUCCAGAAAUCAGUUCCAACUGUUAGCCUUUUUUUUUUCCUGUAAAAGAAACAACUGCGUUACCACUGUCAUAUAGGCCAGAACACAACAUCAGUUAGAUCUUACUACGGAGCUAGUGCCCUUGUUUGGUUGAUUCAGGUUCAUUCUUGAGCUAAAAAGUACUAACAGUUUAGGAUGGCAAUGUCACUGCAUUGCUUGACUGAACUUGCAAUUCCCUGAAUCACAGGAGGUAGCUGGCAGUAGAGCUACUGCGCGUACCAUAACGUGGUGCACCACACCGCCCGGGGAUUUCACCCAGGUGCUCCAGGACGUCGCCGGCGACCCCACCCUGCCCCGCACCAAGUCCGUCCGGUGCGCCGCCUGCGGCCACGGCGAAGCUGUCUUCUUCCAGGUCAGGAUUAUCGAUCACAACCAAACCAACUAGUUUAUUCAGAGUUCAGAGUUAAUACAAAAGAUACUCAACUAACGCAAGUUCUGCAUAUUCUCAAAAAAAAUAAUUCUCGGUUUCGGUUCAGAUGCCAACUGUGAUUAACAGAAUGUGUAGUUGCAGAUGGAGUAAUAAUUCGGGGUAUCUUUGUGAACAUUGCAGUGGAGAGGCCGCGCCAGGGGCAACGCCCGGUUCCCUUCUCCUCAUCGCCGGCGGCAGCGGCGGCGGCGUCUCGACAUCUCUUCCUCCCUUGUACAACGACACGACAACACGAGAUAAUACGAGGGCCUAAACGAAAAUCGGCCCACGGAUUCCGAGGCGCGUCUAAUCUCAGCCGCCUGUAUAUGAUCGAACGGUGCAGAGAGAGGCUGUGGUUUUGGAUCGCUGGAACGAAGAAAUUUUGGUCGAUAGCAGUUGAGUUCGUGUUCCUCUGUUGGUCUGUAGCGUUCAAUGAUGCAGAGAUGCCGUACUGCCGUUUAAGCUUCAGAACCUAUUGAUGUUAUACAGUACAGAUACGAGUACAUGAAACUGGGAUUGUGUUCAACUGGAAAAGUUGACAGCGUUAGGGGUAGGGGUGAAAACGGUACGGAAACUUUCCGGAUUCCGGACUUAUUUUCGAAAACGGAAUCGGUCGGUCGGAAUUUUUUCGGAAUUUUUCGGAAACGGAAACGAAAUCGGAAAUAUUUUCUCAGAAACGGAAUCGGAAAUGAAAAGGGCAGUUUCCGUUGGAACUCGGUAUCGGUCGGAAACUUUCCGGAAAUUUUCUCGGAAUUUCCGGAAAUUUUCUCGGAAUUACCAGAAAUUUUGUGACUGAAAUACCCUGGAUUCUUUUUUUAAGCGCUAAAUAGUGAAUACCAUGGUGUUUGGCUGUUAUUUUUUUAAAAAAUAUUUGUUAUGCAAAUCUAAAAUUACAGAAGAAUAUUUUUUGUCCUACAUUGGGAUUUAUCGACAACAUUACUCUUUCAAACAUAGAUAAUUUAUUCAAUUGGAUUUAUUAGUUUGAGGGGUUUUUUUAUUCCGAUAAAUUUUCGUUACCAUAUUCGCGCCUGUUCGUUUUCGCUCCGUUUUCGGUUUCGAUAAUAUUCGAUUCCGUUUUCGUAUCCGAGGUUUCCGAUUCCGAUUCCGAAAAAAAAUAUGAAAACGAAAAUAAUAAAGAUGGUUUCCGUCCGUUUCCGUACCGUUUUCACCCCUAGUUAGGGGUGAUGAGCGGUGCCAGUUGCCACCCAAAAUCCUUUGAAGAUGAGAUGCACUACUCUGUUUCAAUCAUAACUAGCAUGGUGGCCCGCGCAGAUUUCGCGGUAAUUCCGAAUUUUUCUGUAAAUUGUAUUUCUAUAUAGACUCUAUGCUCUUCUUCCAAUAUUAUUUAUUUUUAUUUCUGAAUUUUUAUUAUUUCUAAUUGUAUUCCUAUAUGGACUCUAAACUCAUCUUUCAAUAUUCUUUAAUUUUUAAUUUCGAAUUUCAGUUACUUCUAAAUUGUAUUCCUAUAUUGACUUUAAACUCUUCUUCCCAUAUUUUUCUUAAUUUCAAAUUUUAGUUAUUUGUAAAUUGUAUGUUUAUACGGACUCUAAACUAUACUUUUAAUUUUAUUCUGUUUAUUCCAAAUUUUAGUUAGUUUAAAAUUCCAGUAUGGACUCUAUAAUCAACUUCUAAUAUUCCUUUUUUUAAUUCUGAAUUUCUAUUUUUUUUCUUAAUUGUAUUUCUAUAUGGACUCUAUACUCUACUUCUAAUAUUCCUUAUUUUUAAUUCCAAAAUUGUAUUAUUUCCUAAUUGUAUUUCUAUAUGGACUCUAUACUCCACUUCUAAUAUUCCUUAUUUUUAAUUUCGAAUUUCUAUUAUUUCCUAAUUGUAUUUUUAUAUGGACUCUAUACUCCACUUCUAAUAUUGCUUAUUUUUAAUUCCGAAUUUCAGUGAUUUGCUAAUUGUAUUUCUAUAUUGACUCUAUACUCUACUUCCAAUAUUCCUUAUUUUUAAUUCCGAAUUUCAGUUAUUUGCUAAUUGUAUUUCUAUACUGACUCUAUGCUCUACUUCUAAUAUUCCUUAUUUUUAAUUCCGAAUUUCAGUUAUUUCCUAAUUGUAUUUCUAUAUGGACUCUAUACUCCAUUUCUAAUAUUCCUUAUUUUUUAAUUCUGAAUUUCAACUAUUUCUAAAUUGUAUUUCUAUAUAGACUCUAGUCUCCUCUUCUAAUAUUACUUAUUUUUUAAUUCCGAAUUUCAGUUAUUUCUAAAUUGUAUUUCUACAUGGACUCUGCUUUUUCUUUUUCUCUGAUUAAUGUGAGAAUUUCUAGGCCAUGAGAGUGAACGUGGAGGCUUCUUUUUCUAUUUCUUUAAUAAUAUGAUAGAUUUUGGAAAGAUUCUGGUGACCUCCUGCAAGUUGCUCUGUGGGGAGGUUGCUGCGGCUAGGGAUGUCUUAAUAACCAUGCUUGCUGUAUACAUGUACUAAAAACUUCUCCUCACUUAAUAAUCGGCCAGCGUACUUUUGCCAGACAUAUGAAAAUAAAAUACUUUCAGAAAGAUAUAAACAAUGAUAACUUUGUACCAGCAUCAUGUCAUGUCAAGAAAUGACACAACAGAUUUCACUCCUAAUAUUUUCUUUAAUGAGACAUGGGAAUCUUUUUAUUAGCAUGAUGGAGAAAAUUAUGUAGCAGACCCUAUAUAGACAAUAGAGGAACGGUGGCUUCUGGAAUGUCAAAACCGAUGAAUUGUCUUUUCUGCAAUUUGGCGAAAAACAAACUCCUAAUGCACACUGCGACAGACAGGGCAUAUCACCUAACAGCAUCUUUUGUCAUGUCCAGCACUGCUAAAGGCUGUGAAUACUCCAAACUAAACGAGCUGCACCAAUUUCAUAUCCGUCUUCUCCUCUCUGCCACUGCAUAAUCUAGGUCCAGUAUAUCACCAGGAACGUGCUCAUCGUCUUCCUUGCAGCCGGUGAUGCUGUGGCUGUACGCACCUAAGGCCUCUGGGGACUGGGGUGAGUCUUUCUUCUUUGCCAUAUGGACUUAAUAUAUCUUCUGCUUUCCCUUGUUCAAUUCCUGCUUCCUGUCAUGGUUGGAGUCGAUCGAGACGUUGGCUCACUCAGUCAUCUUCUUCUUGUACUCCAGCAGAAGACGUUGAUCCGGCUCAUUUCAGCCUCACACCCAGCAACACUUCGCCUUCCAUGCUUAAGCAAAACCUCUCAACUUGUUGCCCAUUUCUUCUUCGUCGUUGCCCGUUGACCCAAGAAGCUGUCUAAAGGUAAUCCCAUUGUUCUAGUUCUUUCAGAUUUAAUAUGUUCUAGUUCUAGUUCUUACCAUCCACAUGAUGCCCUCGCCAAGUCACCAUGAUAUCAUCAUCCAAGAUGAAUUGGAACUUUGCACACCAACCAAAUAGGGGUAGAGGGAUCACUGCACUAUAUGAAAUUUACAGCGGUUAGUAUCGAAUAUGAUUUUAUGAAAUAAUUGCCUUCUUCCGUUCAUUUUAGUAUGUUAGACUGUGUAUUGUUUGCUGUUAAUUAGUUAGUCUUAUUCUCACCAGUCCUAUAUACAAUUAUGUAAUUGUAAAAGAUAAACCAUUCUUUAGUUGUAGUCCCAUAUUAAGAGUAGAUACACUACACUACACAGAAAAAAAACAUACUUCUAUGAAUACCUCACAUGAUAAGAAUGUAAUACUUUUAGUGUUGGUUAUGUACCUCAUACUGUGCAUGAUUUGUCCCUAGAACUUUAGUUUAAGUAUGAUAAGCUAAUUAUUGUAUUAAUAUAAAUGGCAAUUCAGUAGUUAUACCCAUGGAUGUCUAUUUUAUCAAUACAAAAGGUUUAGUGAACAUUAUAUAUUUUUCAGAUCAUGCUAACAGAUAUCGUGCAUUCCUUGCCAACCUACAAUGCUGUCACUUUCUGAAACGUUAAAAGUGGAUCUCCCUUGCUGAUUUUUCCUAUGGCAACCAUAUUAGAUUCUUUGGUUGGAUCAUGUGCCAAUAAGUUGAAAGAGAUUAUUACUGAAGAGGUGAUACUUAUUCUAGGGAUACAAGAAGAGCUCGCAGAGUUGCAGCGGAAGACUGAACUCAUACAUUGUUGUAUUAGUGAUGCUGAGGAAAGGAGGAUGGAAGAGUCAGCAGUUGACAAUUGGCUUGGUCAGCUAAGAGAAGUUCUAUAUGAUGUUGAUGAUAUUAUUGACUUGGCUAGAUUUAAGGGAAGCAUUCUACUAACUGAUCAUCCUUCAUCGUCAUCAAGGAAGUCAAUUGCUUGCACUGGCCUGUCAAUUUCCACUUGCUUUUCUAAUGUUCAGGCACGUCAUGAGGUUGCUGUGAAGAUUAGAAGUCUCAACAGGAAGAUAGAAAACAUUUCGAAGGACAGAGUAUUUUUGACACUCAAGAGUACGGUUCCUACUGGAAGCAGUUCAGUAUUGAGAGUGAGAAAAAGUUCCCACCUACUUGAGCCCAACAUUGUUGGCAAGGAGAUCAUACAUGCCUGCAGAAAAAUGGUAGAUUUAGUGCUUGAACAUAAGGGGAGAAAACUUUAUAAGCUUGCAAUUGUUGGGACUGGGGGAGUUGGUAAGACAACAUUAGCUCAGAAAAUAUACAAUGAUAGAAAAAUAAAAGGAAGUUUCAACAAAAAAGCCUGGGUUUGUGUUUCCAAAGUGUACUCUGAAGCUUCUCUUUUGAGAGAACUUCUUCGAAUUAUGGAAGUUCAUCAUGAUCAAGAUGAAUCAAUUGGAGAGCUCCAGAGCAAGCUUGAAAUAGCAAUUAAGGAGACAAGUUUUUUCCUUGAGUUGGAUGACAUGUGGCAAUCUGACGCAUGGACAAAUUUAUUAAGAAUUCCGUUGCAUGCUGCAGAAAUGGGAGCAAUUCUCAUAACAACUAGAAAUAAUAUUGUUGCCUUAGAAAUCGGAGUGGACCAUACUUAUCGAGUUGAUUUGAUGUCAACCGACGUAGGGUGGGAGUUACUUUGGAAGAGCAUGAAUAUCAGUGAAAGCAUAGAAUUGCAAACUCUGCAGGAUGUUGGGAUUGAGAUUGUUCGCAAAUGUGGUUGCCUUCCUCUUGCAAUCAAGGUUAUUGCUAGAGUGUUAGCGAGUAAAGAACAAACAGAGAACGAAUGGAAAAAAAUAUUGAGCAAAAAUGCUUGGUUCAUGAACAACCUUCCAAAUGAUUUGAGAGGUGCUUUAUAUCUGAGUUACGAUGAGUUACCACAUCAUUUGAAGCAAUGCUUUCUUUAUUGUAGUGUAUAUCCUGAAGAUGCAAACAUUUACCGUGAUGAUCUUACAAGGAUGUGGAUCGCUGAAGGCUUUAUAGAGGACCAUGGAGGUCAACUACUAGAAGAAACAGCAGACGAGUAUUACUAUGAGCUGAUCCACCGGAACCUUCUUCAACCAGAUGGUUUAUAUUAUGACCACAGCAGCUGCAAAAUGCAUGAUCUUUUAAGGCAGCUUGCUUGUUAUUUGUCAAGGGAAGAAUGUUUUGUUGGAAACCCAGAAUCAUUGGUAGGUAACACUGUGUCUAAACUUCGACGUGUUUCAGUCGUCACAGAUAAGAACAUGGUAAUGUUACCUAGCAUGGACGAGGUGCAAUAUAAAGUAAGGACAUGGAAAACUUCUUAUGAGAAAACACUCAGAGUUGAUAAUUCAUUUUUCAAGAGAUUUCCUUAUCUUCGUGUUGUAGAUUGGACUGAUUCAUUUGUACCAAGCAUCCCAGGUUGCAUCGGGAAUUUGAUCCAUCUACGUUUGUCUACAAUUGGACAUAGUGAUAAUGUAUGGAUGCCAAAAUUAUUUGGACGCUUCGGUUGUUUGAUGCAAGGUAUGUGAUUUUAUAUACUCUGGAUUCAGAUUGCGCCCAUUUUUUGGCAUGCUAUUGUGUACAUAGAUAUAUAUCUUUUGCUUUACUAGAUCUCGGUCUUGAGGAUGAAAGGAUCUAGUACUUUGUAAUAUCGACUAUAACAGAUAUGACAAUAAUCCCAAAGAAAUGGCAGUAUAAGAACUACAUAACUGUACUUUUAGUUUGUUCCGGUAAUCUUCUAUUAGGUUCUGCAACUUCCAUGCAGCUCAUUAUCAGCACAUCAACCUUCUUAUUGAGCAGGAAUCAAUGAAUGGAUCAAUGGGUAGAUGGUAGGAGUACCAGUCUGACUGUGUGUAUAUUCAGCAAAUUUAGUCUCCCUGAUGGUUACAGCCUACCUUAACUGAAUUUCACAUCAGCAAUGAUUGUGUGCAAGACCCUUUUUCCUCCACCAGAUGAUGCUUAAGGACCACAAAAUACAUGUAUAUCUCGAUGAACCGAAAAUAAAAGCUUUCCCUCCAUUAUCCAACAUCGUUUUUUAUCGAGUCCAUCCUUCUCCAUUUAAACACUGAACAGAACAGCUGAGCUGGUUACUCUGUCAUCAGGAGAGAUAUUAUGACCAAUACCCCCAGCUUUUCCCCUUGUUAUUCCCUAUUGUUGAAUUAACUGUAGUUUUGAUGCAUUCAUGUGUUAUGCAGGGGGAUGCUGAUCAGUGCCCCUUUUGGAUACUUCAACCUUCCUAAUGUUCCACGUAAGCUUUUUCCUAAUUAUUCCCAUUGUAAUCUGCUCUACUAGCAAUGGCUUAUCUGCUGCAUCUCCUGUACAGGAUUCAGAACUCAAGUUCUUGCCGCAAAAUGGUUUCUGUACACACAAAAAUGGCUAAAAUUGUAAAUGCAAAAUUUCAAAUGCCACCUGCGAUUAACUGCAGAUUGAGUUGCUGAUGGAGGUGAAAACUCUUCUAUGCUUUAGAGUUCACUCCCAAAUCAUCAACCCUCUUAUGGACUCUGAAAUCAGAAUCGAGUUGUGUCCAGUUAUUUCAGUUCAGUGCUCUAGUUUCAUAUCAUCUGUUCCGAGUAAUUAACAACUGGAGUAGAAAUUAUCCUUCCCCUGAACUGAAUCACAAAUGCAUCGCAAAGCAAUCAAAGCUGUGGCGAAAUACAUCUAUCCAGCGACGAGAAGAGAGGAAGGGAGGGAGGCGUCACGUACCUGGGUUGAACUCGAGGAAGAGGAAGAGGCCGCGCCGUCGACCCCGGGCGCCGUGGCGGCGAAGGGGCCCAUGGAGCGCUCCAACUUCUCCACCCUCGGAUCUCUGUCGCUCCCUGCGGCCCACCCUCCAGCUCCGCCUCCGCCUCCGCUCCCCGGCGCCAUCGCCGAGGUGGGGGGUUGGACGGCCGUACCAGGCGCUCCACGAUGUACCUCACUCACUUACUCAUCGGAGCGCUCACCCGCAGCAACGGUAGUUCCCUUCUCCACCAUCAACCUCGCCACUCACCGGAGCGCCGCCGUCGGCGUCGGCGACCCACGCGCCCUUUUUCCAACGACAAUACGAGAUGAUCUGAGGGCUUAUUCGAAAAUGAUCCUCCAAUGCUCAGGCGCCCUUAGAUAUCCCGGCCCACACGUCAUCCGCAAACCCCUUGAUGGCCCAUAAAAUAUGGGCCCCACGUUGCAUCCCGCCCAUGUUCACUUGCAGCACGUUGGGCUGUGAAAGGGUCCAAAGUCCAAGUAUCGCCCCAGAGACGGCCCGUACACUUUGGGCCUCACAUUGCUCCUGCCCUGCGCUGACGGGCCGCAUGUCCCCGUAGUAUCGUCCCGGCCCACAAAUUAAAUGGAAUCGCUUGCUGGCCUACGCCCAUUAGUCGGCCUGACCGCAAGAGCGAUAGUCUCCUGGAUGAGAGAAUCCGCCGCCAUGGCAGCUGCUCGCCGGAGCUCCGCCGACUGGCCACGGAGCUCCUCUCCGGCGAAGAUUUGUAUCACGUAGGUUCUUCGAGUCUUCCCUUUCCAUAAUGUGCUUUGGCUCUUUCAUCUUCCUCUCUCUGUCUCACAGAUCAGACACUUGACGAGCAUGUCAAUACCUAUUGAUGAGAGAUGUUGUAUGUACUGCUGUUUAUGCUAUAGAACCUAUUGAUGUUAUACAGAUCUGAGUGCAUUUUUUUUCUUUGAUAAUGUCAGGUGUGAGCUCAUGAAACUAGGAUUGUGUUCAGUUCGUAGCAUCCUCUUCUUUCAUUCUUUGGAGUGAAUCAAUGAUCCUGUUGAAGUCACCAAUUGGAUGCUUUGUUCUCUAUGUUCUGCUUCUGUAGCUGGAUGAGUAUCAGUCACUGUAUCUGAACACAUACAAAGUGAACUCUAUGGUUUCAGUCUUUCAGAUCAGGUAUGUUCCUUCUUUGACAUGGUCAUCAAUCUGAAAGCAUGUGCAGUAGUAUGAUUCCAUGAUGGAGGAAACAAAACUUAAUCAUGUGCACGUCUUUCUUUUUCUUUUCUAAUCAAAGUGCGCGCCUGCUUUAACACCAUGGACUAUAAUAUUCACGUAAACUAAUUAUAAUCACAUCACCAAGUACGUCCAGUGCGCUUCAUGCAGCCACGGGGAAGCUGCCUUCUUCCAGGUCAGGAUUGUCGAUCAGAGCCAAACCAAGCAGUUUGUUCAGAGUUCAGAAUUACAUAGAAACUACUGAAAUCUGAAUGCUGAAAAUGAUUUUGUUGUUGCAUGCAGGCACAGCGAGGGGAAAGGAAGGCAUGACACUUAUCUUCGUGUGCUGCAACCCCAGCUGCAAUCACAGAUGGAGGGAGUGACAUGUAAAUUAAUUGUAAUUAAUGCUACUAUUAUGCUGCAUGUAAAGGCAAUAGAGCUUUGCAUUAUGCCAUGAAUUGGUAUAUGUUUACUAGUCAAAUCGAGGGAUAAGACGACAAACAAUGAGUAUGAGAUGCCAUUGAGCCCGUGACGGAGGAAACAAAACUCAAGCAUGUGUAUGCUCACCCCUUUGUAACGGCAAUAAAGCACGCAGCUGGUUUCACAUCAUGGAAUCUUGGAAGCAAACUCUAAAUUAAUCACAUCGAAAUAAACUGUAAACUAAUCACAUCGCCAGAGCCCAGGCGCCAGCUAAUCGUUGCAAUAUACUAUUGCAGCUGUUGAUCAGUGCCCUAGAAUAUGUGAGUGUAGCUAAUAGAAGUACGAAAAGGAAAACGCAAAGUUCCCUACUAAUCUGUAAGGUCUAUUAGUAGGAAUUAAGUACUCUCUCAGGAGCCUCACCAUUUGCAUUCUAACAAACCUAACGUUUUGACAAAGACCAUUGCGUUUCCAUGGUGUUACUAGAACAAUUGCUUCAGCGCUAGUGUGCAGGAAAUCAAUUACCAUUUAGUGAUGAUUGGGGAUAUGAAUAAGAAAAGGAGUAGCCAUAGCUACCUAGACGGUUCAUGAAUAUACACAAAUUUUUUUUUUAGAAUUAGGGCGAUAGCGCCCCCAUUUCUCUUACUAGAAAUGAUAGUCAUUACAACAAGUCUUGAGAAGUAAAAAAAAAAAGGAGAACUAAAGAUAAACCUGACCACUGAGUGGGACAGGAACAAAAGACCAUCAGCCUAACCAUUACAGGCCUAACCCAGAUGACUAUCCUAGAUACAGAGUACUAGGGAAUAAACAGACAUUCCAAGGAGUAUCAAACAAGAUCAAACUGCCAGGGAGAGACUAAGCCGGUCCAAUUCUUCUGAUGAAUAUACACAAAAUGUUGGGUUGUGGAGCAUAGACAUGUGGACAAUAACUUAAAAUUUUGUCAGGGAUAGUACCAUGGGAAAGAUAAAAGAAAAGAAGAGUGGUUCAGCAGUUGUCUAGCUAGUCUGAAUGUUCAGCUAUACAAUAUAUGUAAGGCCUUACCACCUUUCCUAAAUCACUCCCUAGCCUCCUGCAGUACUGUUGCUUUGUUCCACUGUGUCGCAUUCUUACACUGCAUUUCUACCGGCUGUGGGUAAGCUCAAUACAUAUAGCUGAAUUUACUUCCUUUAUUUCCUUAAGUUAAUCCGUAAAUGCUCAUCUUGACUGCAGGGCACGGAUUUUCAACAGGAUCAGUUGCGUCCAUUUCUGUCUGCUUUCUGAUUGAUUGAGAUGAGAUCUACUAGGAAGGAAAAAUCUGCUUCAUCUGAGUAAUCCCAUAUAUACUGCUCUUCUUGAAGCACUCCUUGAUCGGUGAAUGUCAACACAUGAACCAGUAUUUCUGGUACUCUCCCGUUGAUUCUUCUAGUUAACCUUCUGAAUCAUUUCAGUUGUACAUAUAUAAUACACACUUCACUUUUCUUCUGUCCCCUUUUUCCAGUUGUAGCAGUGCAGUCUGCGGUUCUCUCUUGAUGACUGGCUCAUAAUGUUCUGUAAUCUAUUCUAUACUCUGGCUUAUUCAAUCAGAUUCCUUUGGUCUUGAUUAAUCUCAGUUUAUUGAGAUCUUAAGUACAAGAUGGGACCGAGCAACCUGUUAACCUGUGCAAGAUGGUUGCUACUAUACUACUGAUCCUUGUUAUGUACCAUAUGUUAUUUUUGUGCUGAAUGAUCGCUCUGUAAGGUAAGAUUUGCAUCCCGGCGAAAACGAAAAAAGAUUUGCAUGUGUACUUCAAGUUUCGAAUGCAUCAUUCUGUGAUCUUUUUUUGGGAUGCAGCUAGUAGAGUAGUAGGUAGGGAGGUGUAUCCGCCAUGCAACUUUUAGGUUUUCAUGUGUGAAGCUACCUAAAUAAUAUAGACCCUGUUUGGAUGCUUGGGCUGUGGUUACAUAACCAUAAAUGUCAAUUUUGCUAGCCAUUAGACUCAACAUGCACGGUACACCGAAUUAAGUGGAAACUCUUAUACAAAGAAUAGAUGGAUAAUAUAUUUACUAAACUUCAUCUUGCAUUCAUAUUUUGUCAGCCUUAUCUAACUUUUAAACUAUGUUAACACAAGUUUGGUUACAUGUCAGGCUGCAUUUUUUACAUUGAUCAAUUAUAUAUGGUGGAUUACCCCUUUUGAGUUUGUCGGAUGGCAACAAUAGUAGACACAUUGGUUGGAUCAUGCAUCAAUAAGUUGCAAGCGAUCAUUACAGACAAGACAAUACUCAUUUUAGGGGUAAAAGAUGAGCUUGAAGAACUGCAACGAAGAACAAACGUCAUAAGAUCUUCUCUUCAGGAUGCUGAGGCAAGGAGGAUGGAAGAUUUAGUAGUUGAAAAAUGGCUUGACCAGCUAAGAGAUGUUAUGUAUGAUGUUGAUGAUAUUAUUGAUUUGGCUAGAUUUAAAGGAAGUGUCCUACUGCCUGACUAUCCUAUGUCAUCGUCAAGGAAAUCAACUGCUUGCAGUGGCCUUUCACUUUCAUCCUGCUUUUCUAAUAUUCGUAUACGUCAUGAAGUUGCUGUAAAAAUUAGAAGCCUGAACAAAAAGAUCGAUAACAUUUCAAAGGAUGAGGUAUUUUUAAAACUCAACCGCAGACAUCAUAAUGAAAGUGGUUCAGCAUGGACACCAAUAGAAAGCUCCAGCCUAGUUGAACCCAACCUUGUGGGCAAGGAGGUCAUACGUGCUUGCAGAGAAGUGGUGGAUUUGGUGCUUGCACGCAAGAAAAAGAAUGUUUACAAGCUUGCUAUUGUUGGAACAGGAGGAGUUGGUAAGACAACACUAGCUCAGAAAAUAUUCAAUGAUAAAAAAUUAGAAGGGAGAUUUGACCAUCAUGCAUGGGCUUGUGUUUCCAAGGAGUAUUCUAGGGAUUCUCUUUUGAGACAAGUUCUUCGUAAUAUGGGAAUUCGAUAUGAGCAAGAUGAAUCAGUUCCAGAGCUCCAAAGAAAGAUUAAAUCACACAUUGCAAAUAAAAGUUUUUUUCUGGUGUUGGAUGAUGUGUGGAACUCUGAAGCAUGGACAGAUUUACUAAGCACUCCACUUCAUGCAGCCGCCACAGGAGUAAUUCUAAUAACUACUCGAGAUGACACUAUUGCUAGAGUAAUUGGGGUGGAGCACACUCAUAGGGUUGAUUUGAUGUCAGCUGAUGUAGGAUGGGAGCUGCUUUGGAGGAGCAUGAACAUCAACCAAGAGAAACAAGUGCAAAAUCUCAAGGACAUAGGUAUUGAGAUUGUUCGCAAAUGUGGUGGCCUUCCUCUUGCAAUCAGAGUUAUUGCUACAGUUUUAGCAAGCCAAGAACAAACAGAGAAUGAAUGGAGACGGAUAUUGGGGAAAAAUGCCUGGUCCAUGAGCAAACUUCCUCGUGAAUUAAGUGGUGCUUUAUAUCUGAGUUAUGAAGUGCUGCCGCACCAACUGAAGCAAUGUUUUCUUUAUUGUGCACUUUUCCCUGAAGAUGAAACCAUUUUGCGCGACAUUCUUACUAGGAUGUGGGUUGCUGAAGGCUUUAUAGAUGAGGAAAAAGGACAAUUACUAGAAGAUACAGCAGAGAGAUAUUAUUAUGAGCUGAUCCAUCGGAACUUGCUCCAACCAGAUGGUUUAUAUUUUGACCACUGGAGCUGUAAGAUGCAUGACCUCUUAAGGCAGCUUGCUUGUUAUUUGUCUAGAGAAGAAUGUUUUGUUGGGGACGUAGAGUCACUAGGGACUAAUACUAUGUGCAAAGUGCGGCGUAUUUCAGUUGUCACAGAGAAGGACAUGAUGGUGUUACCUAGCAUCAAUAAGGAUCAAUAUAAAGUGCGAACGUAUAGAACCUCCUAUCAGAAGGCACUGCAAGUUGAUAGUUCACUUUUCGAGAAACUUACAUAUCUUCGUGUUUUGGAUUUGACUAACUCACAUGUACAAAGAAUCCCAAAUUACAUUGAAAACAUGAUUCAUCUGCGCUUGCUUGAUCUUGAUGGGACAGACAUUUCUCAUCUACCGGAGUCCAUUGGUUCCCUGCAAAACCUUCAAAUAUUGAACUUGCAGAGGUGUAAAUCUCUGCACCGCCUUCCUUUGGCAACCACUCAGCUGUGCAAUUUGAGGCGACUUGGUCUUGCUGGUACUCCAAUAAACCAGGUUCCAAAAGGGAUAGGAAGACUGAAAUUUCUCAAUGAUUUAGAAGGAUUUCCUAUCGGUGGUGGAAAUGACAAUACCAAAAUACAAGAUGGAUGGAAUUUGGAAGAGUUGGCUUAUCUUCCACAGUUGAGGCAGCUUGGUAUGAUAAAAUUGGAGAGAGGUACUCCACGCAGCAGUACAGACCCAUUUCUACUAACAGAGAAAAAGCAUCUCAAAGUUCUGAAUCUAGACUGCACUGAACAGACAGAUGAAGCAUAUUCAGAGGAAAAUGCUAGAAACAUUGAAAAGAUCUUCGAGAAGCUAACACCUCCACACAACUUAGAAGAUCUUUUUGUUGGGAAUUUCUUUGGUUGUAGAUUCCCCACCUGGCUUGGUUGUACCCAUUUGUCUUCAGUGAAAUCUGUGAUCCUCGUAGAUUGCAAAUCUUGUGUGCAUCUUCCCCCAAUCGGACAGCUACCAAACUUGAAAUACCUAAGAAUUAAUGGAGCAAGUGCAAUCACCAAGAUUGGACCCGAAUUUGUUGGCUGCUGGGAGGGUAAUCUCAGAUCCACAGAGGCAGUUGCUUUCCCCAAGCUCGAAAUGUUGAUCUUCAAGGAGAUGCCCAACUGGGAGGAGUGGUCCUUUGUUGAAGAAGAAGAAGUGCAGGAGGAGGAAGCAGCUGCAGCAGCCAAGGAAGGGGGAGAGGAUGGAAUUGCUGCUUCGAAGCAAAAGGGGGAGGAAGCCCCGUCUCCAACUCCAAGGUCGUCGUGGCUGCUGCCUUGUUUGAAGCAGUUGCAACUUGUGGAGUGCCCCAAGCUGAGGGCUCUCCCUCCACAGCUUGGACAGCAGGCCACCAACUUGAAGAAACUCUUUAUAAGAGACACAAGAUACUUGAAGACGGUGGAAGACCUCCCGUUCCUCUCUGGUUGCCUUUUAGUUGAAAGAUGUGAAGGCCUGGAGAGGAUCUCCAACCUUCCCCAAGUAAGAGAGCUGCGUGCAGGUGGUUGCCCCAAUUUGAGGC
This 81142-nucleotide long non-coding RNA is filed under the name Oryza sativa (Asian cultivated rice). The record is from RNAcentral. Lineage: Eukaryota; Viridiplantae; Streptophyta; Magnoliopsida; Poales; Poaceae.